Podarcis lilfordi (Lilford's wall lizard) is the source of this 51667-nucleotide non-coding RNA. Lineage: Eukaryota; Metazoa; Chordata; Lepidosauria; Squamata; Lacertidae. The record is from the annotation of a GenBank genome assembly.
GGCUCAGAAGUCAAACCACUAGCCAAAGUAUUUGACUUUCCUACAAAAGGCACGGCUGGUGUAACUCUGGUGUGCUGUUGUUUUUAAUGUUCAGAGAAUUAUGCAUGCACCCUCUGUAGCAAAUGAAAGGGAAGUGCUUAUCUCUUUCAACAAAGUCACUUUCUAGCUGUUGCUGUGCCUUUGCAAGAGAUGGAAGAAGUACGGUAUCUGAUGGAUGGAUAUCUACGGACAGAGGUGAACACUGUUUCUGUCAGACAGUUCAGCCAAGGUCAGCUGGGACUUAUUAGGUGGGGUUGCCAUGGGCUGCUACAUUAGCUGUGGAAAGGGGCUGCAUACAGUGAUCUUAACCUAUUCAAUCUCUGCGCCGCACAGUCUGCAUAAUACAGUGGACCAAAACCUAGUGAUAACACAGAAGGGGAAGCAGAGAGCAGUACAGCAAACUUUUAUUACUUUCAGCUGAUAGCUACUGCAAACUUGCAGAGCAGAAGAGAGAGAUUUCAGAGAUACAAAUUCAAUUCCAAAAUAGGAGAAAACACUAAAAAUGGAAAUUUGGAAACAGUAAAAAGCAUAGUUUCCAAAUGUAGGAAUGGGUUUGUAAACAUUUUAUUUGUUCUUGGCAGCUGCGCUUAAUUGGAAUGAUUCUUAAUAAUUUCCACACAAGACUAGUGAGUUGUUGUGAUCAUUCUUUUUUUUUUUUAAUGUUUUGCAUGUGCUGUUAUUGCUUUAAAAUGUUUUUCAUAUUAAUAAUGGGUGUUUAGCUUGUUAAAAUAUACACAAUGGUUUUAAUUUUGUGUGUGUGUGUGUGUGUGUGUGUGUGUGUGUGUGUAUAGCUGUUUUAUAAAUGCUGUGAUAUUGUAAAUCACUUUGAGAUGCCUCAUGGGAAGGAAUUACUAAAUGAAAUAAAUUGUCAUUAUUAUUACUAUCAUCUGGAAGAUGAGAGGUCUAUUGGUGGAUCAGUUUAGUCCUUGUAGAGCUCUCUUGUUUGGGAGCUAUCAGGGUGGUGCAAAGAAUAAACUGGCCAUAGAUUCAAGGUUUUCAGUAUUGCGUGACAUUCUUUUAUUUCUGCAUUAAGUAUCAAUGUACCAUACUGGUUGUAUCAGGUCCCUGAUAUAUUAAUAAAAUCAGAAACAGAGGAAGAAAACUUAAGAACAGAAAUGGGAGAACAGCUAAGGAGCAAGUGGUCAAAUGUUUAGGUAUUUGUAAACACCCACCCUGCUUUAAAAAUAAUAAUAUAGUUCCAGCAAUAUUUCCAUCUGUCUGCUCUGACCUCAGGAGGAAGUACAGUCAACAGGAACUCAAAUGGCCAUUGUGCCCUUUGAAUGACCUUUUAAAAUGGCAUCUCCAUUCCCUGAAGGCUUGGCCAACUUGUGCAGCUCUGGUCGAGGAGUGGAUGGGUAGCCAGGCAUGAAUAAGGCUUGCCAAACUGGUGAACUGUGUAAAAGCUUAUGAGACAUUUUGCCUCCUUCUUGACUGCACUGAGCUAGAGUACUCUUGUCUGACACGCUGCCUCGAGGAUUGCUUCACACAUGGGGAAUAUACAGUGGUGCCCCGCAAGACGAAUGCCUCGCAAGACGGAAAAACCGCUAGACGAAAGGGUUUUCCGUUUUGAAGUUGCUUCGCAGGACGAAUUCCCCUAUGGGCUUGCUUCGCAAGACGAAAAUACCUUGCGAGUCUUGAGAUUUUUUUCGCUUUUCCCCCUUUAUCUAAUCUGCUAAGCCUUUAAUAGCCUUUAAUAGCCUUUUAGCAGCUAAUCCCCUAAGCCUUUAAGCCUUUAAUAGCCGCUAAACCGCUAAUAGCGCUAAUAGCGCUAAUCCGUCAAUGGGCUUGCUUCGCAAGACGAAAAAACCGCUAGACGAAGACUCUCGCGGAACGGAUUAAUUUCGUCUUGCGAGGCACCACUGUAUGUGUGGUGGCUCAGAGCCUCAGAAACAAGUUUGCUUUGGCUAACACAGCAGCCCUGGGAUGGCAGAGUGCAAAAAAAGGAUGGAUGCCUCUCCCACAGUCUAUAAAAAAUAAACACCAGUUGCUUCUCUUAGACCAGCAAUGGAACCUGACCAAAGGUCACAGCAUUAGCAAAGGUAAUAGGCAAAGGCAACCGAUCUCUCAUUGGCAUUAUCCACUUCUUUUGCACACGCACACAGAGGCAGCUACAGGGCCAAACCAAGGCUCCAUCUGCACAAUGCCUUUAAAAUGUUAUCCUACUGUCUUAUAGAGUCAUGACUUCCCACCAAGAAUCCUGGGAACUUUAGUUUGUUAAGGUGGUAGCUCAUAAUCGGUGCUGUGCGGCUCCAGUAGAUGCUAUUGAUAGUAUAAGUUCUGAAAAAUCUUUUAUUGAUAUUUCCUUUUGCCCUCCAAACACAAUAGCAGAAGGCAAAGGCGACAAUAAAGUUGAUAAUACAGUGGAACCUUGUGUUAUGUACCGUCCUCCUUGCGAACGCUACGGGUUACAAGCUCCGCUAACCUGGAAGUAGAUGCCCCUUGUUACGAACUUUGCCCCAGGAUGCGAGCAGAAAUCACGUGCCAGCAGUGCGGCAGCAGCAGGAGGCGCCAUUAGCAAAAGCGUGCCUCAUGUUAUGAGCGGUUUUGGCUUAAAAACGGACCUCUGGAAUGAAUUAAGUUUGUAACCGGAGGUACCACUGUACAUGCUAAUGCUGAUGGUGUUGUCAAAACCUGGACAUGCCCAGAUUAGAGUGUGGCGUUGACAUGCGUACCUGUUUGCUGAACCAGAUGCCUGUUCCCUAAUAGUUCUUCCCUGGUACAGAUUGUAAUCUGAGCCAGAGGAGAAUUCCUCCCUAACUAAUACUAACCUGCCUGCUGUUGCAGAGGGUGCCUCUGCAUAGAGGGUGGGAAGUUUCUCUCCUCCUCCUCCUCCUCCUCGCUUCCCCUCGUAUAGCAGUGUUUCAGGAACCAGGAACUUUAUUAACCAGGAAGUUAAUAAACCACUAUGCCAUGCAAUGUUCUAUCUACAGCAUAGGCCAAUUUCCACCCUAUGCAUUUGUUUCAAAAAUGCCUUCCAGUAAUCCUAUCAGCCACAUGCGUCUGCUUUCCACAUUCCUUUAUUAGUGAACUAUAUGUGCCUUGCAAUAAUGCAGUCCCCAAGCCGAGCAUGGCAAGGCACCGUAUCUAUUAGAUUUCUUGUUCUUUUUCCAUCCCUAAGGUGCAGAACCAAGUACCAAUUUAGUCAUCAAGCACUGAGUCAUCUAGUAAAUAAUUCAACUCCCCAUCUUCAGACACCGAAGUCAGUUGUCUAAACAAGCCAGUCUUUUUAUGUCAAAUGUGCAAACGUUGUCUAGGCAAGAGAGAGUGAGAGUACAAGGCGGCGGCAGGAGAAUGGGAGAAGCAAGGUAGCCAGGAGAAUACUAGGGAAAGGUCUCUCACAUUUUUAAAAAAAUGUGCCUUUGUUUUGGAAUCUAGGGCGAUCUGAGAAGCUAAACAGUGAUCAUCAACUUGAUUGGAGUAGGGAAAUCAGAGAAGAGCAUCUGAAGUUGCUUUUCACCUCUCCUCUAGCAAUGAAAAACUCCUGGUUUUUGGACUUAUAUGCCUAGUGGCAUGCUACAGAAUCUGAGCAGGAUUUACAGGAAUGAUACUUUUCCCGAAUGGAAGAAAGGUCAAGUAGGAAUAAUUGGGACAAUAGGGAGUUAUUAGCAACCACCCAUGCAUAUUCUCCUAUUGGUGUUUUAAGAACAAUGAAACAAGGUAAAAUCUCCACAACCUCGUCCUAUAUUAUUUCGAGAACUGUAUUGCUAUUUACCGUAUUUUUCGUCCCAUAGGAUGCUCCGUCCCAUAGGACGCACCUAGUUUUUUGGGGGGGAAAUAAAGGAAAUUUUUUCCCCCUUUAUUUCCCCCCCAAAACCAGGUCGGGGAAACCGAACCAGGUUGAGGAACAGCGGGAUGGCGGCACUGCGCCUCCCUGCUGUCCCCCGAGCUUGUGGGGCUGGCCGAUGUCUGCCCGGCGCACAGGGCGCUCUGCUUCAGGGCGCCCCUCGUGCCGGGCGGCAGGCUGCUAUCCGCAGCCUAGACAGCCCUGCGGGAACUCCCGCAGGGUUGCCUAGGCUGCAGAUGUGUUCCCUAAGCGCCGGGCGCUCUGCUUUCAGCACGCCCGGUGCUGCGGGAAGCAGGCUGCUAUCCGCAGCCUAGACAGCCCUGCGGGACCUCCCGCAGGGUUGCCUGGGCUGCGGAUGUCUUCCUGAAGCCUGGAGAGCAAGAGGGGUCAGUGCGCACCGACCCCUCUCGCUCUCCAAGCUUCAGCGAAAGCCUGCAUUCGCCCCAUAGGACGCACCCAGAUUUCCCCUUCAUUUUUGGAGGGGAAAAAGUGCGUCCUAUAGGGCGAAAAAUACGGUACAUAGUGGCCCUAGCCUAUAUUCAUUUGGUGGCUUUGGCUCCUAUUAUGCAUAGUUCACUGUAUUCUUUGUAGUUAGUUGAAUUCUCCUACUACUUCCCACAUGUUUACAUUGAUCAGGGGUGGCCCAAUACGUUUUGCUCCAGCCCCUUCUACGCUUGCUGGCCAUUGCACCCUUCUCCUCUGCCACCACCCGCCACACCCACCUGUUGCUUGGUUCAGAGGAGAUGGCUGAAGCAGCAGGCGGGCACUGAGGAGGCAGAUUCCAUGGCAAAGGGGGCAGGUGGGCACGGAGGAAGAGGCAGCGAGUGGCGGCAGAGGAGACAACUGAGGGAAAAGGCAAAAGAAGGCAGAGCUGCUGCCUCUCCCAGUUUGGCUCAUAGAUAUCAAACCUGGGUAGACCUACUAAAUAGGCAGCUGACAAGUAUUUUUAAUUGUAUUAUUUUGUCACUUUGGUGUUUGCUGCCCUGGAAAGAGCAGGCUAGAAAUUUAAAAAUGAAUAAAUUCAACUUAGGAGUUACACUAGCCCUGACUUGUAACUGCAAUGUAACUCCCUGCUCUCCUUGUUUGCCUCCUGUGUGGCCCCUAAAUCUGCUCUGGAGACUUGAAGGAAUCUGUGAAGCAGAUUUAGGGGGAAGGUGGGGAGGGGAGAGGUCAGGGAAGUUACAUAGUGCAGAUAAAGGUUUGUUUGUUUAUUUUUUGCCAGCAUAACUCUUUAGUUGAGAACUGUCCCAACUGCAGCCUGGAAUGCUGUUUUAAAGGAAAUGGACAAAAUAUACAGGUUGGAAAUUGGCAUCUCUAAACAGGCCUUUAUGAGUUUAACUGUGAAGGGUAUCUUUAAAUUUCAAUCAUUUCAGUGACACUUAAGACAUUCAGCUUUUGGCAGAUGGUAUUAAUAUCCCCCCCCCCAAAAAAAACCCCACAUCAACUUUGGUGUGCAUCCAUCUUUGAAAAAGACAAAGGAAAGGUUUGAAUUUUCAGAACUUUUCUCAUUCAGAAGUUACUUUUGGCAUCUUUCCUGGCUCUGUUAUAUACUGGAAAGACCUCAUAAGGACAAUGGGUCUCGCUUCCAUCUGCAGAACAAGCAUCACCAAAACCCCAUGGACAGAUUAAUGAUUCAAAAACCUGGGCUACAAUUGGUCAAAUGUGAGCAAAUACUUUCCAACGUUGGUUUUCAAUGGAAGUGCUUAAUAAAAAUCAGAAGCAAUGUAUCACUGUUCCGGGAGGCGAUGUCUGUAAAAGGUUUGACUAAUAUUACCACCUGCUGGGCAGUCUGUAACAGUGCAAUACGCAGUACUUUCCAGAGGGGAAGCUGUGUUAAUCUGAAAGACAAAGAGACCUGUGGUACCUUAAAGACUAACCAUAAGUUGGCCCACACCAACAGAUCUGGGAAACAUCCUCCUCGUGAUUAUAUUGACACACAUGCAACAUAUGUAGAAAGAAACAAAAAAGUUUGUACGUAGUGUGGCCCAAAGUUAAUGAAAUCUAAAGGUCAGCAGGAGGUGUGUGACACUUCUUCAUCAAACUAAAAUCCAUGCAAGAUAGAAAGACAGGAAUCCAUCCACGUGGCUUUCUAUACACAUGUAAUUAUAUAGAUAUCUGUAACUCCAGGUUGAUUUAUGUAUUUUUUUUAAUUAUUAUUUAACAGAAUUUAUAGACCACUGUACUGUAAAUGGAACCUCUGAGCUGUUCACACAGCAAGUUAAAACGGUCAAUAAAAGAAAAAAACAAUGUUAAGAAGAAGUAUUUCAAAAGUUCAAAUCAAAUUAAAACCAAUAAUUAAGUCAGAAACAGAUUAGAACACAUGUCAGUUUGGAUAGACUUGCGUGAACAAAGGGUAUAUUAUUUACAAUAUUGCCAUUAGUGCAGGAGUAUCUAAGAUCCCAUCAUCCCUGACCAUUGGCCAUGCUGGCUGGGCCUGAUGGGAACUGGGGUCCAACAACAUCCAGAGGCCCCCAGAGAUCUUCUGAUGGUCAUACGAUUUUGCAUCAUGGUCUACAAGACUCCAUUGGAAGCUGUGCUGUGCCUGAUGCAUGGCUGGCCCAAGGAGCAGAUAGAUUUGUGUCCUGCUUCCUGUUGUUGCCAUGCCCGUCUCCUGCCAUUUUCAACAAUAUCUCAAGGUGGUUGGAUUCCCCUAUAUACUGUUGCCAUACUCAUGCCUUUCCACCCCAGUUUCCUAGGCUCUGUGGAUUUUCCGAAAUGUUCUGUGUGCAUUUGGAGGCCAGGAGGUGGAGCCAUAAUGCAGCUUUUUAGGUAGUGAUUAUCUGCGGGUGACUGGGGAAUUUGCACACUGCUGUGGAUGCAGGGGACAUGGGCCUCCAGGGCUGGUGUGGAGGAUGAGAUUGAGAUUGCAUAUGGAUCCAUUUCAAGGUGCUUCUAGCAGCCAGUUUAGAAAAGAAAAAAACCUUACAUUAGUCUUACAGAGUUUUAAAGAAAAAAUAAAAAUAAAAAAAUUCUCCGCCCAAUACAAAAACAUACAAGACGAAAACUAAUAAAUAGCAUUAUAUCAUAUAAUUACUAACAGCAGGUGGUGUCUUUAACAUAUUUCCCCUCUUUACAGGCACAUAAGCAUAUAUGCUUAUGGGGAUUUUCUUUAUAUGUCAUCAUUAAACCACACUUUAAUCAUUAUUCUGUACUUUAAUCUAUUUUCCAUAACGUGAGGAAUGGCUUUCAUAAAGAUGGCUGCAUAUGUCCCUGAUAUGUAUAUGAGAUAAAAACAUGCUGCACGAAAUAAAAAUCAAAUAUUUCAUCUUUCCCAUAGGUAAUUUAAGUUGGUAAGUCAAUUUCUCUGCAAUGGAUAUAUGCCACAGCUCACUGUAGCAAUAAAAAGUCAAAAGCUCUACCGUUUCCUAGUUUUUAUUUAUUACCCCAUGAGCUGCCACUUUCUCAUUUUGUACCUUCCAAAUUAGGCAUUGGGAACCUCUGUCCCGCUGCCUAAUAGGGUCCCUAUUUGGUAUUCACAGCCGGUCCUCACCACAUGCACCUGCAGUGUCAGGUGCUUGGCAGGUGGGUGGAUUCUGUCUACCCUUCAAAAUGGUCUGCCAAGGGUGUGGGAAGUCAGGAUCAGGCCUGGUGUCCAUUUUUGGGGUGACCAAAGAUUUUGCAGUUUUGGUGUGACCAAAGAUUAAGAGGGAACGUGACUAAUGGCAAAGAUGAAAACAGCGAAUGGGGAACACAAAGCUUUGUUUUAUACACAGCAGCUGAGCACCUGAAUCACAGGUCAGAGCAGAGGAGAGUACAGAGUGACACAGAAAGAGAUACAAGGGGAAUCUUACAGCCUGUGCACAGCCUUAGCUUGACUUCUGCAUCCAGCUUUCUGAAAAGUUCUAAGAGGCAUUUGGAAAGUGGCAGUUCACAAUUUUACUGCACUGGAAAACAAACUAGACUAAGAAAAAUCCUUGAAGCAUAGGUUAAUAAGUAUUACUAGAAAGACAAAUGCGUCAUUCUGAAAAAUAAGGUCUCACCAGAAGUUCAGGGUUAUUGAUAAUGAAACACCAUAUACUAAUUUUUCAUCCAUGUAAUAAAAUAUCUCAGUGAGGAAUAUGGGGGCUGCAUAGGUUGGUUUCAGUUAUUUUCUACUGCUAUGUCUUAAUAGGAUUGCCAGCUUUGCUCUACACAUGAGAGAAACGUCUUCCUGUUUCUGGAAAAUAGUCACUGACGCUCAGAGCUAUUUCCAUCAUCACAGAAUUCUAGAGUUAGGAGGACCCCUGAGGUCCACCUACUGCUCUAAAACAAUUAUCAGGGCUGGGCAGCCGUCUGGAGCAAGUCAGGUACCGGGUACCAGGAAUCAGGCCAAAGAGCAGUCAGGAUCAGAGAAUGAACCAGAAGACAGGGGCAGAACAAGGAAGGAGUCCAGACUAAAGAGCAAUCAGAAUCAGGGUGCAAAACGGUAGGCCAAAACAGAGAAUUCAAGAUCAAAGAGCAAGAUCAGAUACACAUUGGGACAAUGCUAUUUUUCUAGAAAAAGAGGUGCUGGAACUCACCAUGAACACCUCCCUCAUGGCACCAACCUGAGAGGUGCCAGAACUGAGUUCUGCCAAGUUCUGGCUGGGGGGGAAAACCUGCAUAGGAACAUAGGUAGCUGCCUUUAUACCAAGUCAGAUUGUUGGCCCACCAAGAUCUGUAUCAUCUAUCUAGGGUUACCAUAUUUUGAAGAGCAAAAAAGAGGAUGCUAUGAGGACUCUCAUUUUAAAUACCCCUACUAUGUAUAGGCUAUAGAAGCUGUGAUAUAUUGCUGAGGGGGCAGGAGAAGAAAAGAGGAAAGCAAGUCUUCAGCCACCAUUUAUGUCUAUGUCUCAUCCAGAAAGUAUAGCCAGAGACAUUUUGGCAAAUUUAAAAAAUCCACCUGGACAGAAACGUUACCUCUGAAAAAGAGGACAUGUCCUGGAAAAAGAGGGCACAUGGUAGGGCUGCCAUAUAUCCAGAAUUUCCUGGACAUAGCGUCCAGAUGGAAUUUUCAAAAAUCAUUAAAAAUGUCUGGGCAACCCAUGUCAGAAGUGUUGAUUAUUUGGGGGGGUUGAAUUUCCUUUAAAAAAUAGCUCAAAAAAAUUCUUCUUUUUUUAGAUUUUGCCAAAAAAAGCUCAAAAAUCCCACCCUCCAAAAAAGCUCACCAACUUUUGUGUCCAGAUUUUCACUUUUUGAAAUAUGGCAACCUAACACAUGGCAACACUGCUGAUUGGUUGCAGCUUUCCAGGGUUUCGGACAAGGGUCCCUUGGGAUGCUGAGAACUGAACCUAGGACUGUCUGUUUGCAAAGCAGAUGUUCUACCAGUGAGAUACAACUUUCCCCAACACAAGACAUACCAGAUAGGUAGACCUUGUUGCUCAAGCACCAAGGAGACAAGAAGUCCUCUUAUGUCCCUUCCAACUUAGAAGGGGCCAAUGACCAACCUGGCAGGUGGAACCAAGAAGGUUCUUCCCCAAGAGAUUGCAGUUACGCUCUUUACCACAUGAGGCAGUGGUCAGCAAGUCAUGGAAGGAGUCUAUCUAUGAGCCAGACAUAAGCCCGUAGGUCAAUACUUUUGUUCAAUCCUAUAUAUCAAGACCAUUUUCCUUGUCUACAAAGCCAGACACUUUAUCUAAUCAGGAAACUAGAAUGGUCUGGCAUGAUUUAUUUUCAAUAAAUCCAUUUUGACUGCAAGUAACUCACUUGAAAUAUUGGCUAAUACUGUUCCAGUUGUAUGUAGCCAAAGGAGAGACAGAAAGUAGGGCAAUGUUUUUGAUUGCAUGAGAUUCAUAGCUGUUGGCAAUAAUGUAUGUCUGUUCAGUCUUCUCAUUCUGCUAUCAUUUAUUUAGCCAGGUACUGUACAAAAUGUAGACUGUAUUGAGCUUUAAGGCUCUUGUUUCUGCUGUGCAUUCUUGUAUAUAUAUAUAUAUACAAGAUGUUGGGACGCGGGUGGCGCUGUGGGUUAAACCACAGAGCCUAGGGCUUGCCGAUCAGAAGGUCGGCGGCGGUUCGAAUUCCCGCAACGGGAUGAGCUCCCAUUGCUCGGCCCCUGCUCCUGCCAACCUAGCAGUUUGAAAGCAUGUCAAAGUGCAAGUAGAUAAAUAGGUACUGCUCCGGCGGGAAGGUAAACGGCGCUUCUGUGCGCUGCUCUGGUUCGCCAGAAGCGGCUUAGUCAUGCUGGCCACAUGACCCGGCUCCUCAGCCAAUAAAGUGAGAUGAGUGCCGCAACCCCAGAGUCAGCCACAACUGGACCUACUGGUCAGGGGUCCCUUUACCUUUACCUUUACAGGUCAGAUAGUUGUUUAUUUCCUUGACAUCUGACAGGAGGGCAUUCCACAGGGUGGGCGCCACUACCAAGAUGGCCCUCUGCCUGGCUCCCUGUAACCUCACGUCUCACAGUGAGGGAACUGCCAGAAGGCCCUCAGCACUGGACCUCAGUGUCUGGGCUGAACAAUGGGGUGGAGACGCUCCUUCAGGUAUACUGGCACAAGGCUGUUUAGGGCUUUAAAGGUCAGCACCAACACUUUGAAUUGUCCAUAAACAAGUCCAUUCAGAUAUGUAAAGCUGACAUCUAUUUUAAUGUGCAAUUUCAUUUCAUAAUGCAUAUUUUAAACUGUUGGUUUUCUGUGUACUUUGAUAUUAUUUUUAGGUGAACACAUUUUUAACUGACUUUUAUCAAUAAUGUUAAUGUAUAUUUUAUUUUAGGCGAUCCACUUGGAUGAUUUUGCAUUGAAGCGGUAUAUAAUUUUUUGUUAAAUAAAGCAAAAUAAAACAAAAAUAGAGUAGCCAGGUUGGGGGUGAAGCAGGGGCUGGAAAACCCCUGGUCUAGAGCUCCCUAAAACCUGUCAGCACCUCUGCUGUUCAAUGGUUAUCUGUUGCUUUGCACAUCUAGUUUUAGAUCCUGUUCCUUACCUUCCUUAAGAUAUAUGCCUUCUCUACCUCCUGCUUAUCUUCCUUCUCCAAUUUCUCCUGCGGUCUUUGCAUUCUUCUCAUUCUCUGCUGCUUGUAAAGCCUCAUAUUUCUUCCUCGGUUUCCCAUCUUCUCACUUCUUCCUCUUAUUGUUUCCUGUCUGUGCAACUCUUUGCUAGCCAAGAUUAAUUCAGUUCUCCCCCUUUAAAACAUGCCUAUGAUGUGUUACGACUAAUUUCUUCCAUUCAGUCUCUGCCUAAUUGUGUUUGUUUUCCCUCUCUUCUGGUCCUUAGCUUCUUUCGAAAUUAUGCUUUUGGUACAUCGGCACAUCAGAAGAGCCUGCUGCUAUUCAGAAGCAUAGCCACUGUGCUUAGAAAUAGGACAUCCAAACUGUGAACUCUCUUAGCCUGCAUCUUAUCUUCCCGUGUACUCUGUGCAAAGUGGGAAUGAUAGAAUAGUUAAGGCAGUGGGCCCCCUGCAGAUCUCGGGGUCCAGGCAAAUGCCCAGCCUUGCCAACUUCUGGAGCCAACCCUCCGUGCAUAUUUUAUAGCCCGGUUUCCAUACCCCAAUAAAAAAACCAAAUGGAGAAUCAGACCCAGCUAUUUAAUAGAGCUGCGGUCAACCUGAAGCAUCUCUGGAAAUUAUAUAGCGUGUCUUGCUGGUACUUGAAGGAAAAACCAUGCUUGCUUCCAUCACUCUUCCGACCACGUUUGAACAAAUGCUGGUAUUCAGAACUCGGCUAUCGUGUUCAUUUGUUGGGGGCAAAGUGUGUAUCAAAGCCAUCUCUCUGGGUAACAUUAUCUGGGGCUCUCUUUGAAAUCCCCAAAGCAACUGUUAAUAGCUCAGUUACAGGAAAAGCGAUACUGUUUGCGUCGCCCUUGUGAGGGGGCCGGUUGCUUAGCGUCAUGGUAUAUUUUCUGAAAACAGUUGGCAGAGUGAUCGGCCUCGCUCAGCUAAACGAAUUAAGUAAUCGCACAAUAUCGCAAGGAAUAUGAGCGAGGAAUUUCCAUAUUAUGGCUCUCGAUACUCCCACCUCACAUGCAAACCCAACGCUUUGGCUGAGCAAGCGGUAACUUGAUCUCAGACGGGGCCCUUAUUAAGCAGAUGCAGUGAAAUGAUGCAGAGUUUUAGGUUGCAUUUGUCAACUCAAUGCUUUUUAUUACCGCUCAUUAGGGCAAGGGAUACCUUGGUGCUGAGGAUUCAUUAGCCAAGCAUUGACCCUUGGAGGCGCAGUAAUUAAACGGUUCUGGAGACUAAGUAUGGGAGCCAGGCCACACACAGCAGGCUGGGAAAAGUCAGCUGCUUCUCAAGCCGAGAGUGAUUUUUGCGUAAGAGACUGGUGAAGAAAUAGAGACACUGGUGACUCAGAUGCAGAAUGCCACGAUAUUCAUAUUCUUCUGGGGAAGAGCGAAGUUGCUUCUCUGUCGUGUUCUCUAUGCAUUUGGAUACCUCUUUAGACGUUUUAACCAAAUUUUGCAUGGUGGCUCCUGAGAUCAAGGGGCAGGUUGUUUUCUGUGCUUCGGUACAAUUGGGUGCCAUGUUGAAUCAAGAUGGCAGAUACCGACAAAAAUAGAGUGGUUUGUCAAAUUAUUGGAAUACUACAAUAUAUCCAAAACAAUGGGAGAAAUUGGAAGGCUCUCAAAAGAGAAGAUAGACAGGGACUGGAAGGUGUUUAAAGGAUACUUGCAAAACUAUAUUGAAAAAUCAGAACUCCUAUUAGAAUAAACAAGUUCCAUUUUAAAUACUGGAAUAUUAAAUAAGAUGGAUAACAAUGUGUAAUAGAAAAAGAAGCAUGAAAUUAGGUUAAAGGCAUGUGAAAGAAAGUAAUAGAAGUGGAAAGAAAUUGCAAUUGAAUAGAUUGGAAGUCUAACACAAAGGUGGGGUGAGGGGUGGUGGAUGGUGAUGGGAAAAGGAAUUAUCUGUGGGAUUGAGUGUAGGUAUGUUUGAACAUUUUAAAGGAUUGUAUGAAAUGUAUGUUUGUAUGUUCACAAUAUGUGUAUAUUAAUGCUGAAUUAUUUUAACAAUAAAAACUUUUCAAAAAAAAAAGAUGGCAGACUGACGCUUUCAAAACUGUACUGACUUUUUUCCCCUCUUGACCAACACCAGCUACAAGGCCACCAGUAAAUAUGUUAAGGUGAAUGUAACUCUUCUCUCAACAGAAUAUUUUCCUGCAAAUUAAAGUAAUUUAGACAGAAUGUUUGUGUUACAUUGCUUCACAAGCAAGUGAUUCAAAGGCCAAUAGACAUGUGGGCUGAAAUACCAGGCAGAGUUAAGUGCAGUUCACUCAGUCAAUCAUAGAAUUGUAGAAUUGGAAGGGACCUCAAAGGUCAUCUAGUUUAAUCCCCUGCAAUGCAGGAUUCUCAGCUAAAAGCAAGCAAGCAAUCAUUUUAUUGGUAUGCUGCAUUUCAGAGUUAAAACCAUGCUCAAGGCAACUUAUAACUUUUUAAGAAUUACAUAACUACAAACAUAACAAACGUAGUCAUAAACAAUAAGCAUACCAUUAAAAAGUACACAACCAAAUUGAACACAGUAACACCCCUACAUAUUAUUUAUUAAACUAUGUGUAAAUCACCUUGAAACAGUGGUUUAGAAGGUGAUUUAUGUGUGGUGGACGUGUAAGGUAAUAAAAGCAUUCUGGGAAAUGAUAUACAAUGAAUUGAAAAAAAUGUUUAAAAUAAUUCUUAUUUAAAAAACGCAGAGGCUUUUCUAUUAGGAAUUGUAGGUGCUGAAAUUCCAAGGGAACAGAAAAGACUUUUUAUGUAUGCGACAACAGCUGCACAGAUGCUGUUAGCUCAGAGAUGGAAAGAAGAUAAAGUCUCUGCCAGAGAAGAAUGGCAAAUGAAGUUGUUGGACUAUGUCAAAAUGGCAAAACUGACCGGAAAGCUCAGAACCAGGAAAACCAAAACUUUAAUAAGGAAUGGAAAAAUUUUACCAUUUAUCUUAAAAACCACUGUAAACAGUUGGAAACAAUAGCAGGACUGCAAUAACACUUGUAAUGUAAGGAGAACUAUGUCUACAAUGGAGUUAUAAAAAGCUUGAUUAUUUAAAAAAGAUGCAGUAGAAAAGGUUUAAUAACAGAACCCAUGGAGGGGAGGGGGGAAGUUCAGAGAUUCAGGGGAAUCUUGUGACUUUGGAUGUGUUGUGGGAUGUUUGUAAACUUAAAUAUGUAAAACCAAAUAAAAAUUAUAUACAGUAUAUCAUUUUGAAGGCGGUUUAUGAAUCAGUAGCAGAGACAUCACCUUGCCAACAAAGGUCCGUAUAGUUAAAGCUAUGGUAGUGAUGUAUGGAAGUGAGAGCUGGACCAUUAAGAAGGCUGAUGGCCGAAGAAUUGAUGCUUUUGAAUUAUGGUGCUGGAGGAGACUCUUGAGAGUCCCAUGGACUGCAAGAAGACCAAACCUUUCCAUUCUUAAGGAAAUCAGCCCUGAGUGCUCACUGGAAGGACAGAUCCUGAAGCUGAGACUCCAAUACUUUGGCCACCUCAUGAGAAGAGAAGACUCCCUGGAAAAGACCCUGGUGUUGGGAAAGAUGGAGGGCACAAGGAGAAGGGGACGACAGAGGACGAGAUGGUUGGACAGUGUUCUCGAAGCUACCAGCAUGAGUUUGACCAAACUGCGGGAGGCAGUGGAAGACAGGAGUGCCUGGCAUGCUCUGGUCCAUGGGGUCACAAAGAGUCGGACACGACUAAACGACUAAACAACAACAAGAAGCAGUAGUAGUAGUAAUAAUUGGCAUUGGAGGUUGCUGGAAAUCUUAAGUAGGUGCUUAUGUGCUCAGAUCUUACUUGUGGGCUUCCCACAGGCAUCUGGUUGGCCACUAUAACAGGAUGCUGGACUAGAUGGGUCUUUGUCCUGACCCAGCAGGCUUUUUAAUGUUUUAUGUUCAUUCAAACAUUAUGGCCUGGGUUCUGCUGAAGCAGGGCUUUCUUGCCAUCUUCUUCCUACUGAGCCUUCUGAGCCCCUCUCCAAUUCCGCCAAUUCCGAGGGUCAGGAGGAUGCUUGGGAAUGGUUUGGAAUAUGGCACAGGAAGCGAGUCAGUGGAAAUCACGAAAACAAUCCCUCCUUGUGCAACCAGGAGUCCCAUAUGACAUCAUUAGUUUACAGAAUGUGAAUUAAGGUGCUUUUUAGAAUGUUUUAAACUUUUCUUUUUAAAAAAACAAUUUUAAUGAUAUUUUUAAUGAUGUGUUUGCCACCCUGGGCUCCUUUGGGAGGAAGGGUGGGAUAUUAAUUGAAUAAUAUCUCUCUCGUUUUUUCAUCGACUCAUAACCUACAGUUUAAAGCAGAAUGAGAAAUAUGAAAUAUAUUAUAAAUAUAAAUAUAAAACAACAGUGAAAGCUUAAAAUAUUAGUAAGAAAGUAGUAAAUAAAACUACAGCAAAAUAUCAUGCUGUAGUUUUUUAAAAAAAAAAUAAAAGCAAACAUUGUUUAAAUCAGACAUUUCAGCUGAGGAGGCAUAAAGCUAUGUUUCCAUGACUUGCUCAAAAGGCAGGCAGGGGUGGAGUUGGGGUUAGACAAAUUAACAGAGGAUGGGUCUGUUAAUGACGUGUCCAUGUGUGUGCGCUCCCCAACUAGAACAUCCAGGUUCAGAGAAGAUGCUACUGAAUGUCAGUUUCGGGGAAGAGGACAAAACCAGAGAAGGACAAGGUUCCCAUAGGCAGUGCUUUUUUUCUAAAAAAAAUUUGGUGGAAUUUUCAUUUUCCUACUCAUAUUGAAAUACUGCCCCUCAAUGAGGCCAAACUUAGAUUCACAAAAUGUUUGGGGGUCUGCAUAUCCCUGCGUCCCCCACAGAAAAAAGCACUGCUCAUAGUUAUCUGGUCAGCCACUUUGAGAACAGAUCCUUGGACUAGAUGGGCCUUUGGCCAGAUCCAGCAGGGCCCUUGUUGUGUUUUUAAUUACGUACCCUAUAGGGCAUAUCUGGUGGGAACAUCCAAGUGCAUGAUUUGCUUGUUGUGGCAAACUCUACCGCUGGAAUGUUCAUGGCCAGUGAUCUGAAAAGGCCGCAAACAAUUCCAAAGAAAUUUCUUUUCUUUUCUUUUCUUUUCUUUUCUUUUCUUUUCUUUUCUUUCUUUCUUUCUUUCUUUCUUUCUUUCUUUCUUUCUUUCUUUCUUUCUUUCUUUCCAUUUGAUCAAAUAUUCAUGGAAAUAUGGCUGUGUGGUAUUUGCUCAACCCAAGUUCAUCAAUAAGCCACUUUUCCAUCCACAUUUGUCUAAUUUUCCUUGGUCUAGUCUCAAGGGAGUGUAAGCACUCUUAGGUUGAUCCCCAUUUAUGGCUAAAUAAAAUACCAACGUGUCAAAACUGGAUCACUCCAGACAUCCUCCUUUCAAGUGUUUGUGGGUACAAAUCAACCCAGCCUCAACUAUUUGGAUAGGUGGUGGACAGCAAUUGCCAGACUAUCUCCUGCUAUUGUGGAGGUGACCUGGAGGCAUGCCUCUUACCCUGGUUCCCCACCCCCACCAGCUGCUGCCCCGUUCUCUGGCAUCACAAACCAAACAUUCUAAUAUGCCAUAUUAUUUAUGGGCUUGUAAUUAUUUAGCAUCUGUAUGUCAACAUUACAAUACCCCCGUUGGCUGUAAAGGAGCAAAAUCUUUCUUUAAUUAACAUGACACGGCCUGUGUCAACUUUCCUUGGUCCUAGCCUUUUAAAAUUGAGUUGGGAGUUUGGAUUCCAAGCCAAAUACCUGUGUUUUAAGCAAAGACUAAAAAGACAGAGUUCUCAUUCACUAAAACUAGUCUUGGAAGCCAAUAAUUUUAUGUGUUUUAAGGAGGUUUAUGCUAUACUGGGGCAUUUACAAUGGAAUUCAUUGAAUGGGAGACCACAGUGGCUGUGUGUGUGUGUGUGUGUGUGUGUGUGUGUGUACAGGUACAGUUUAAUAAGGAGGAAGCAGCAAAUAACUGCAGUUGCCUGUCCCCUCCAACAGCUUCAGAUGCAUCAGUGAUUGCUUCAAGACAUGCACAGACUCAUAAAAAAGGCUUGGUAAUAAAAAAUGCACCAGUUUGUUUACGCAACACAUUUCUUCUUUGAGGAAGAAGCAAAUGACACAUUGCUAAGCGUUCAAGAAACAAACUGAACCGCCAUUGAAUUUAAUUACCCGACCACCCUGUGAGUUGCAUGAGCCAAAUCCAGUUCUAAAGUCAGCAGCUAUAACUCCCACUGGGAAUGGCACCCGCUUUGCCAAGGCUAAAUAUGGCCUCGGUUGUUUUUUUCUAUGUUUCUUAAGUGCCAAGGCUUUUGCUAUAUCAUAAUUGACAGCUACCCUGGGCUCACCGCAUGGAGCUGUUGGUUUUUCCAUGCACAAAGAGCAACCUUAUACUUUUCGGUUAGAUGACUUUUGCUUUAGAUGAAAGAAAACACCCCAAGAUGAAAUUGGAGAAAUUGGCUGGGUGGGUUAGAAAAGCGAUGGCAAUACAGGGCCAAAUGUAUUCCAUAAUCUUCCCCCAAAAAGAAGAAGAGACCCUUGCACUUAAAUCUGACACAGAGUUGGGUACGCUGAAGCCCAAGGCAGUCAGGGAGCUCAAAUAUGUUUAGCUCUGUGUUGAACCGUAGCUCUGUGUUGAACCUUUCAUUUGGAAAGCAUUUCCAUUAUGUCCAAUGGGACAUGCUUUUAUAUAAUGGCUACUACAACCUAGAGCUGGUGCCCUUUAGGAAUGGUAGGGUGAAAGGCAGGGAGACCAACAGUAGGGGGAGCCAGAGUCAAUGAUAGGUGGAGCCAGAAACAAUGACAAGCAGAGCCAAUCAAUUCAAGUUUCAUCCCCAUUCUCCCCCUCGCUGAGUUCUGCAAGGGCAACACAGAGACAAAGGUGGAAGGUGAUAGGCAGUACCUACGGGAGCAACACUGGGUGUUGCAACUAUUACAUAGUAAAUUGAGCAAAACGGAAAGCAACACAUGGGGAGAUGCCAAAUUUUGGCCUUGCACAGGUCACCACUGAAAUUAGAAAAACCAAGGUCCAGCCUUGACAUGGAACUGCCAAUGUCAACUUUACGGGGUUUUCUGUGUUGAUAAAGUCAGUGCAGAAAGGCUAAUUCUGUCAGCUUCUCUCAUUUAUUUUUAUUUACAUCAUCUGCUCCAGAAGAUCUCUGACCCUCUGGAGGAGAAGUGAUGGGGGACGCAGGGGAGAAGAGAGGAAGGGAGAGUCCCGUUUGUGUGAGUGAAAGCUUCAUGCACCAGUGGGACACCCAAAUUGGAUAUCACUCUCAAGCUCUUUUGUAAAAUUCACAAAGCAUCCGUGUUAUCUCAAAUGCCUGCUUGUCACAUCUGGGCAAUUUAAGAGAGUCAUCACCAAUACAUUUGGGGUUAUUCAACAAAUCUUUAACUGAUAUAGUAAAGAAAGCUCUGUUGUGCCUGACAUAAGAAGAGCCUGCUGGAUCAGGCCACCUAAUGGCCCAUCUAAUCAAGCAUCCUGGUCUCAAAUGCCUGUGGGGAAGCCGGAAGCCAGACCUGAGCACAAGAGCACUCUCUCCCUGCAGUGGUUCCUGGCAAAUAGUAUUCAGAAGCAUUACUGCUUCCAACUAUGGAGGCAGAACGUAGCCGUUGUGGCAAGCAGCCAUCAAUAGCCCUCUCCUCCAUGAAAACCCCAAUAAGCUUCUCUGCUUCCUUUUUAGUGCCUUUUUCUGAUUUAAUUUAACAGAAACCAAAGAGGACAAACUCAUAUGAUGACAUACCUGCCCUGCAAGAGAGUUUGAUAUUUAUAUCUCUAGGUUUCUGCUAGCUAACCUGAAAACUGGCUGGAGCAAAGCCCAUUCCAUGGGUCCAAAUGGAUUCACAUCCAACUGCAUCAGCUCGACUAGUCGGUGGAGAAAAGGGGCUGCAAGUCAUUAGCUCAUUACCAUUUCUGGCACGUAGAGAGAGAUACAAUACGGUUUGAAAGUGGCUGUGUUUUAAAUAUAACCAUUCUGCUCCCCUGGGUGGAUUCUGUUUCUAGUGCUGUUUCUAAGAUGGUGGUGGGGUGGGUGUGACACACGGCAAUUCGCUCCAUCCUCCUAGAUUUCUUGUCUGUUCUGCUUAAAAUAGUUUUGUGGAGGGAGGGCAAGGCAGCUACCAAUGCCUGUCUGUUAUGCUUUAGCAACGAAGGCUUGCUCUCGUCAGGGAAGCACUAUGAGGUGUAAACCUUGUAUAUAACUACAACAGAAGCUCCAGAAGGCCUCCAUUUUCUGAGGAGAUAGGCAGCAAGUGUUUUCUCACACCAGUCUAACCCUGGAGGUGUGUUAUUUCCCCUGGAGAGGAAAUACAGUGGUACCUCUGGUUACAAACUUAAUUCGUUCUGGACCUCCGUUCUUAACCUGAAACCGUUCUUAACCUGAGGUACCACUUUAGCUAAUGGGGCCUCCCGCUGCUGCCAUGCCGCCACCACGCGAUUUCUGUUCUCAUCCUGAGGUAAAGUUCUUAACCUGAGAUACUACUUCCGGGUUAGCAGAAUCUGUAACCCGAAGUGUUUGUAACCUGAGGUGUUUGUAACCCGAGGUACCACUGUAAGUAUGUCAGCUUCAGGGUUUGUGUACUCGCACCCCCUACCCCCCAGGGGCAAAUUGGGGAAGAGGAAGGCUUGGUAUCCAAUAGUUCAAAAACCUCCCUUGGUCUGCAACCCACCCAAAACAGACUCCUUAUUAGCCCCUCUGCCCUUGGGCAUGGAGAGCAGAGAAGCAAAUGUAGUGAAAGGCAAACUUUCCUCUCUGUGGGAAUGCUUUGAAAAAGUAUGCUUUGAAAGAGGGAUGGGCAACCUGUGUUGCAGCAGGUGUUGUUGGACUACAAUUCCCAUCGGCCCCAGCCAGCAUGGCCAAUGGUCAAGGAUGAUAGGAUGGUGGGAGCUGCUUUAACAUUCCUGCAGGAGGAAUGCUAGGCAACCAACAAGUUUUCAAAAAUAUGUGUGGGUCUCUUGGAUAUCCCAUGCAAGUAGUCUGUUUGGAAGUCGGAAGGCAAAUUUGUAGGCAACCCUUCUAUAGAACUGUUACAAAUUUUUCCAAGGAGGUAGACAGUGUUAUGAAACUGUACACCAGGCAUACCAAUAAAGCAUCAUUAAAAUAUUAUCCUUCAGGUUUAAUAGCCUGAGAAAAUAAGAUCUUUAGCUGGUGCCAAGAGGAGGUUAGACUAGUGAACCUGGGACACCAUCUCUCUGAAGGCCCCUGACUGCGUGCCAUGGUCUAGUCUUUUGCUGUUUCAUGGCCAAGCACAGAUAAUUAUUGAAAAGGCUCUUUAAAAAUAACAGGCCUCCACCAACAAGUGUGUUCACUUCCCUUGACAAGGUCACCUUGUAUUUUGAGAAUCUGGUGGCCUCUGAUAGAUAGCAAUAAGUAUGUUCUGAAACAUGGCCAGUAGGUGUCCCUCUUUUCACAAGUACCUUUAUUCCUUGAUCACAGGGUGUGGCAGAGCCCAUAACAGAGCAAACAUAUAUGAUUGCACCAUCGUAAAACCCUUCUGAAUGCCCAGCGCAAUAUCAGUAGGGUUGAUCCUGCCAAUAUGAGGCACAUGUAUAGAUAUAUGUGAAAAGGGAAAUAGGCACUUCUUGGUUACUUUGCUUGGGGGAUACUAACACUCUCUCAAUGAUUACAAUGACUAUACAGUGGUGCCCCGCAAGACGAAUGCCUCGCAAGACAGAAAACCCGCUAGACGAAAGGGUUUUCCGUUUUUGAGUUGCUUCGCAGGACGAAUUUCCCUAUGGGCUUGCUUCGCAAGACAAAAACGUCUUGCGAGUCUUGAGAUUUUUUUUUCGCUUUCCCCCCCUUUAUCUAAGCCGCUAAGCCUUUAAUAGCCUUUUAGCAGCUAAUCUGAUAAGCCGAUAAGCCUUUAAUAGCCGCUAAACCGCUAAUAGCGCUAAUCCGUUAAGCCGCUAAUAGGGUUGCUUCGCAAGACGAAAAAACCGCUAGACGAAGACUCUCGCGGAACGGAUUAAUUUCGUCUUGCGAGGCACCACUGUAUGAAUCCAGGAGAUAUGUUUUUCCAUUGUAUUUCUAGUUAAGGCCAAUGGAGAAAUUAGAUAGAUAUCAGCAAUAGUCUUGUGGCACCUUAAAGAGUAGGAAAUGUAUCAUGGCAUAAGCCACAAGACAAUCAGACAAUUCCAUCAAAAUGCUGAGUAAUAUUAAACUAGCCUUUAUUCAGAGCAGACCUAUUGAAAACAAUCACUAUGACUAAGAUGGCUCCAUUAAUCAUAGUAGGUCUCCUCUGCACACAUUCCAGCUUGUCAAUGUCCUUCUUAAAAUGUGCCCAGAACAGGACACAGUACUUCAGGUGUGGUCUGACCAAGGCAGAAUACAGAAUACUUGAUUGGUAUGCUGUACUUCUGUCCAUGCAGCCUAGAACAGUAUUAGCUUUUUUGCUGCUGCAUUACAUUGUUGACUUAUGUUGAGCUUGUGGUCUAUUAAGUCCCCUAGAUCCUUUUUACAUGGACCACUGGCAAGCCAACUGUUCCCCAUCUUAUAUUUGUGCAGCUGGUUCUUACAUUUGUCCCUCCUGAAAUUCAUUUUGUUCAUUUUGGCCCUGUUCUCCCAUCCCUUAAGGUCAUCUUGAAUCCUGAUGCUGUCUUCUGUGGCAUUAACUUCCCCUCCCAGUUUGAUGUCAUCUGAACAUUUGAUGAGCAUCCUCUUCAUACAAGUCGUUUAUAAAGACGUUGAACAACAACAGGCCCAGGACAGAACCCUGUGGUCACUAUUUUCCAGCAUGAUGAGGGACCAUUAGUGGUUUGGUCAGUCAACCAGUGCAUCAUAAGGCCUUCUUAGCACCUCCAGUAUUUAUAAUUCCUACUUUCAGCAAUGUACGAAAGCUCAUUUGCUCUGAGGUGCGAAACACGUCUGACAUGAUCCAUUUAAAACUCUUUAAAACCUCAAACCAGGGAAUGGGGUGAGAUGUUGAAUGCAUAGGAUUACUAUUUCAAGUUUCUUAUAUAUGUCUGCGUUGUUCUUCUUCUCCAUAAAAUUCCUUGAAGAUUAAAUAGAUGGAAAUCUGAUUGGCAAAUUCCAAAGAGUUUGAAGGGAACAAGAUGAAAAAGGACAAGGCAUUGAACUUGGAAAACAGCUACUGAGCACGUGCAAAAGCUACUCUUUUUUCCAAAUAAAUUUCAUAAAGAGUUUUAUUACUUGCCUAAAUCAUGAGCCAUGCAAGUGACUUAUCCAAAGCUAUAAAAAUGAGUACUUCUUCUGUUACCUUUAUGGGAAAUCUAGGAUAUUAUUAACAUAAUAAAUCUCAGGCGCUAACCAUGACAGAACCAGAUACAAGUCCUUGUUUUUGUAGGUUUCUGUAGAAAGCUACUCAGACAGAUGCCACAUGCCAUGAAAUAACUUUAGCAGCCAGGUCCUUUUCAUAAACAAAGGACACAGGCCAAAGGAAAAGAAAAUCCAAAACAAGUAUCAUCCCUUGAGCACCUCUUAUAUACACUAAUGUUUGCUGUGACAAAUGUUCACCCAUUUCUAUUAUUGUUUUGAAAAGAUAACUUCCAUGGGAGCUGAAACAUGUCCAAACUCUCAUUUAAUGUUCAUUCCCUGCCCCAUGCCUGUUCUUUGCUGUUCAUUUCCCCUGCUUAGGCACAGUUUUAAAAGUUAUUGCUUCUUUCUUCAUCUUUCAGUGCAUCCGGCCAAUCAGCGAUUCCAUAACACAUGUUAUGACAUCACAAUACAAAAUAGUGAAUCACCUUUGGAUGCCUAAUGCCACCACUGAGGGCAAAUGAAAACUAAUAAGAGAGCAGGCAAAGUUUCAUGAACAGAUCACAUUACUGGAUCACUGGUCAUCCUCAUUCCAAAUGUGCAUGACAUAUCUGCCCCUUUCAGAGUAACCUCCCCGCCCAAAAAAAAUCAACAAAGGGAAUGUGUUUCAUUUUUGUCCCUGCCAAAUCAUUUCCAGAAAAGUGCUCAUUUCCCCCACUUUCAAUUCGGCCUCGCCAAAUGUAUUGUGAUCCAGUGCAUGAUUAUUUGUGGGGAGGGAUUGGAGAUAAACAUAUGCCUUGUAGAUAUAUAAGCUGUACUGGCAGUAACAAGAGUUUCUGCUUUGAAUACCCAUAGUUCAAAGCUCUGCAUCAACUGGUGGUCCUCCAGAUGUUGCUGGACUUCAGCUCCCAACAUCCCCAGCUGGCAUAGCCAAUGGUCUGGCUUGAUGGGAGUUGUAGUCCAACAACAUUUAGAAGGCAACAGAUUCCCCAUUCCUGCAUUCCAUCUGCCACUGGCUACCCACUGUCUAUCCAUUUAGAAAGUGUAUGAUAAAAGCAGCUUAAGAGCUAGUGGAAAGAUCACCUGCCUCACAAAAAACAUAGUUUCACUAAAUGUUAAAAAAAAGCACAAUUUUUGUCAGAAGUGUAGAAAUAUGCUCAGUGGCUGCUGCACCAGGCGGCAGAUAUCAACUUUUUACUCUCAGAAGGUCCAGACAAUGUCUUUGUUCAACAAUCUGCUUGUCCACUGUGUGUUGGCUUCUCAUUUAAUGGUUUUUCAUAUUGCUUCUAACUAGCACAUUUCUUGGUCACUUAUUUCCCACGUUAUUCUCAUUAUCCUCAUUAUUCAUCCUUUGUCAUAGGAUUCGCUACUUCCCAAAGAACAAGCAAAUCAGUUCAUUUUUCCCUUGUGUCCUUUCUGAAUUCUCUGCUACAUUUGUCAUUCAUUUGUUAUAUUUAGUGUCCCACGAUUGGCCAUUCUGCAUUUAAAAAAAAAUAAAAAUAAAAAAUCAACAGCAUUUUGAGAAAAGAGCAGUUUCUAUGGAACGAGAACCCUUUGAAUGGCUUUAGCAUCCUUUAUUUUGAUUAUGUGUCAGCUUAUUGUGCCCAAGAUAUGGAGAUAUGGGCCUGUUGUUUUCCUCUGGGUAAUGAAUGAACAAAUAAGCCAGUGAUGAUUCACAUGCAGUCAUUCCAGAGUUCAGACAAUGGGAAACAAUAAUGGUUUCAAAAAUACGACACUUUCAUCUACAAUAUUUAUAGGUUAUUAUUAAACGGGAAUGGUGCUUAACAAUGCCUUUGAAAAAACAAAUCAUUGUCUCCUAUCACCAUUUAGCAGUUUCUUCCUGGGAAGUGUUUCGUAAAUGCUUGAUGAAUAUGUCCUCCCUUAGGACUUAGGAAACAGAAUAGUGGGCUUUAAAGGGCUGGUGCAUCCAUUCCUUCGUUAACAGGAAUGGGGGGUUGGUGCUGCUUUCAACUAUUAGUCAGUAAGAGAUUUCAUUCAAUCCUCAUGAAUGACAUGAUACGGAGACAUCUAAGGAAUGUGUGUUGCUUCUCCAUUUCUGUCACCAAGUAGUUGGGGAAUAGUUGGAGGCACUGAUGCUUCUGAAUACUGGAAGCCACAGAAGGGGAGAGAGAGCGCUCUUUGGGGGUUGGACUAUAUGAUCCUUGUGGACCCUUCCAACUCCAGAAUUCUAUUAUCCUUGUGCUUGGGUCCUGCUCGCAGGUUUCACACAGGUUUCCACUGUGAGAAGCAAAUGCUGGACUGGAUGGGCCGUUGGCCGGACAUCCUAAUGUGAAAUUAUGCAAAGCGUUAAUACGAACCCAUGAGAACUGCUGCGCAGAAUACACCGUGCGGCAUUUGAUAACUCACUUAAGUGCUUUUUCUGCUUUCCUUGGGCAAAUUACUUGACCACAGUAAGCAGCAGAGAAAUUAUAAAGCAACGGCCGGAUGUCUGAGCAUAUGGCAGGCGAAUACAACAGGAACUUGCAGAGAGAGCAACCAGGUGCGGCGGCAGCUGAAGUCGAAAUGUUGGUGACAGAUGUUCUUCCUGGUCUUUUGGAGAAGUGCAUACCAGUCAGCAUCUUCAUCAUAUCACCUGACAUCUCCUGCUGCAAGGAAGCAUGGGAUUACUUGAUGACUUUUACAACUGUGGGACAGGGCUGCGAGCAUGUGCAGGUUCUGCGUCACCUCUGCCUGUAAACACCUCCUCCAUCGCGCAGCCUCUCAGCAAGGGGACCGUAAAGAAUGCAAAGGGGCUCGAGAGGAAACCUGGGACAGAGGAUUCGGCUGUCAACUCGCGAAGUUCGGCAGCUGCCCUGCUUAUAAACACUUUCUCCACCGGGCACCCUGUCGGCCAGUGGAUUGCAAAUCGCAUUCUAAAAGCGGCGCUGAUUUCAUCAGAACGCAGGCAAAUGACAAAGGCCCACUAAACUCAGUCACUGCACCUACUAAUAGGUAGAGCCAGUGUGGUAAAGUGGUUAGAGCAUCAGGUUAGGACCUGCGUGACCAGGGUUUGAAUCCCCACUCAGCCAUAUAGUUCAAUGGACCUUGAGCCAGUCGCACUGCCUCACUCAGCCUAACCUACCUCACAGGGUUUUUGUAGGGAUUAAAUGAGAAGGGGAAAUGUAAGCCUGUUCAAGCUCCAUGGAGAGAAAGGUAGGACAUAAACACAUUAAACAGAUAAAUAAGAGGGAUUGGAGUAUCUGUCAGUUUCUCAGGUUCUCAUACGUUUUCACUGUAAAUAGUAAGCAUAAUGCAAAACAUGUGUCUUGCGUCAUUUGUUGAAGGCAAGUCAACACAGUAAGAGCUAGAACUAGAAUUGAGCUGAAAUUGCAGAGAAGACUUUUUUCUCCCUUGAGAAAAAUUCUGAGAAUGUCCCGGGGUUGAGGAGGGUGCCCCUUUGCAGAAUUUACUCUGAAUAUAAGCUGCCAUUUUAAAAAUAUUUUUUAAUUUGAAAUCAUUAUUAUUGUGCACAUUUCCCCACAGUGCCUUGGAAUAAGGCUGGAUCUGUGGCAUUGGGGAGGAUGCAGAACAGUGUGGCUGGGCUGCCAACACAGUCAAUGAAAACCUAUAGGGGGGAAAUGAAGAGUUGCUGCCCUUAUCAUUGCCAAUUACCCCUCAAGAAACAAGUGGAGAAUUUCUCCUCCCACUAGAGAAAUCUGGUGAAAUAAUCUCUUAGCCAUUUCUCUGUCUCCAGACAGGGUGGAAAAAAUUCAAGAGACCAGUUACGUACACCUCCACCUAAAGCCAUGCCAGCAGUAGGCAAAUAAUGGGUUGGAUUCAGCUGGCUGUCACUGGGUCCCAUCAAUGGGGCAAGUUACUUGCAACUUAACUUAAUCCCAUUGAUUUCAGCAUGAACAUAAAUGCAACCAACUAAAGUGUGCUAUUCUAUGCACACCAACUUGGAAGGCAGCCCUGCUGAAUUUAAUGGGGCUUACUUCCUGGUAGGUGGGGUUAGGAAUCCAGACUGGAUCCAACUCCAUGUCUUUUACUGCUCCAUAUUCAUCUUCAAGAAUUUGCAUGCAGAAGGUUCUAGAUUCAAUCCUUGGCAUCCCCCAGAUAGGGCUGAGAAUGCCCUCUGUCUGAUCCCCUGGAGAGCUGUUGCUAGGUGAGCUAGGUGAGCAAAAGGUCUGACUCUGUAAAAGGCAUCUUCCUAGGUUCCUAUGCACCUUAAAGCUAGUGGGAUUUGAAAGUGCUUAAUUUGAGCUGGGCCAUGCCUUUAGGUCUCUGAGAGAGCACAGCAAGUGGGAAAUUUCAAACGGUGGAAAUUUUAUGGCAAAUAUCCUGCCUCCAUUUCCCCAAAGGCAAAAAAACUGAGGACAGUUAGUGCACAGAGUAGCUGUAAACGAUAGCGAACAUAAUGGACCAGUUCUAUCGCUGCGAUCCAACAAAUGUGAUCUGGGUGGCCAGCAAUAACAAAACCAAUGUGCAGCUUCAUCGAAAAUUUACAUGAGGAUGGAGUUCAUUUUCAGCUUGCUGCACCUCUGGGGGACUGAACUUGAAUCAGAUCCAUGUAGCUAAGUUGUUCUCAGUGUUAUAAUAGGAAGUACGAACUCUUGGCAGUGGAAAGAGGCAAAUGGGAUACUGGAGGGAAAAUAAUACAAAUAAAAAAAAAGAGGUUCAAUUUGUUGCCUGAGCAGAACAGUGUAAUCUUGACAGGGUGAGAACAGCAAGCCAGCUCUACAGGGACAAUAUUUAUUCCUGAAUUGGGAAGGGAAAGUGAAUAAGGGAGGUUGUUUGCCAGCUGCUAGGAGCUAUAAGCAGUUUGGUUUUUAAAGGCCUCUGUGUUCACCUUGAGUCAGGCCUGGAGAUUAUUCUUACACUUCCUAAUUUACAGCUGAUCAGGAAAAGUGAAGUGGGUGGAAACAAACUGUGGAAACUGUACUGGGCUAAGUUCAGCCUUGAAUAAGGGACAACCUGCCUCACUACCAAUUGUGUGGCUGCCUAUUUUUCUUCUUCCUUCCUUCUGAUGGCAAGUUUUGUGUGUGCUCUGCCAUGGGUCCAAGUAGCAAUAUGGCAUGCCUAUGCAAAUAUUCCAAAAGUUGUUUGGAUGACUGCAUGAUCUCAGCCACCAUUUAUGAAAGGAAGCAGAGACAGUCAUCUUCUCCCUGUUUCAAGCCAGAUGUGGUCGUUCUUCAGACCAUUUUCUAGAUCCAUUUCAGUUGGGGUUUUGGCCCAGAAACUGCUUUGGUCACCCAGUAUGAUGACCUCGGACAGGAGAGACAGGGGAAAUUUGUCUCUGUUAAUUCUUUCAGUCUCUCAGUGGCUUUCAGUGGCGUCAACCAUGGUAGCAGAUGUCCAUCUUAUGAGUGGGUGACACUGUUUUGUGGUGGUUCCAGUCCUACUUGGAUGGUUGUUUCCAGAGGUUGAUGCUUGGAAAGUGCUCUUCAGCCUGAUUGAGCCUCAGGGUUCAAUUUUAUCCAUUACGCUGUUUAACAUCUACGUGAAAAUGCUGGCUGGGGUCAUCCGAAGUAUUGGAGUGUGUUGUCAGUCUUUAAGAAUGCAGCCAGAAAUGUUACAGAAAUGCCAGUACACACUUACCCAGAAGUAAGUCUCAUUAGGCUUCCUUCUGAGUAAGCAUGCCAUAAGAUUGUACUGUAAGGAAACAAGAAACAUAGGCAUGGCAGCUUCUGUUUCUGAUCAGGCCUGAAAAGAGAUUUGUUCUUUGCACAUACAGUGUUGUCAGAUCCAGUGCAGAUCUGGAAACCUUAUAAGCAAAACAGUUGACUUGCCUGAAACAGUCAAGUAUGCUUUUUUAUUUAGAAAGGGGGGGGGUGAGAGGUAAUAAACAUAAACUCCUUAACUGAGAACAAGCCAGGCAAACGUGACAAUGUGAACGGCAGAUAAAAACAAACCAUGAGUACACUUGCUGGCCUUCUGCAGUGACAAAGCAGCUCCUUUGAUAUUUUGUGAAUUAACUACCACUUGGAACAGGGAAAAUAAAUUUUAAAGGCCAUACAGUCUUUUUUGUUUGUUAAUUGUGACUUAUUAUAUUUUUUUCCAAGGGGGUUGAUGCAUUGCCUGUGCAUAAACAGAAGUAGCUUGCUUACAACUCCCGUCUUCUGCUGUUAUGAGUUUAUGAGAAAGGAAGCUCAAGGAAGAUCAAUAAAUCCUCUGCGUACAUUACAAAUGACUUGUGACGUAGGUCCACAGGAGCUGUUUUUAGUGGGGGAUAGUCCAGUUAUUAUGGAUUUGACAUGAACUUGGCCCAUUGCCUUCAAGGGAAUGAAAUGUAGGCAUAAUUUGGCCUUCCUGUAAUUGUCUCUUUAACUUGGCGAUGGAGGCUAAUUUUUUCCUGUGAAAUGAGCCCAAGACGUCACUAGAGCAAUGCCCAUAUUAAUUAAUGAGACAUAAUAAUACUAAUAAAAGCUCAUGAUAUGAGGCCUCUUCCUUCAGCUCCCCCCUCCCCUCCCCUCCCCACAUGCUCUCUUAAGAAAACUGCUUUACAGGAAUCUGUGAGUCACUUUCCAUCAAGGCGCUUUGUCUUUAAUUGACGCAAACAAUACAGUGGAGACAAAUAAGCAGCGUAGAACCAUCUGUUUAAUUGAGUCCUUGACAUUUUAUUGCAUUUCCCCCAAUUGCAUAUUAAAGGAAGCAAAUAGAAAAACACUGGCUAAUUAUAUGCUGUUUACGGAUCCUAGAUUUACUUUGAUUGUAUUCCUCUAGAUGACGAUCCCGCCUUGUUACACGCGUACCUUCUGCUUCCGCCUGCUUUCGCGUUGCACGUUUGCAUAACAAAUCCUUGUUGUGCAUUUAGCAUAUCUCAUCCCUGCAAAGCUCUUUGUGCAUCUGAAAAGGAAAACAAUAAUCUUGGGAGGGCAAACUCAUGAAAGGUUCCCAUAUGGCCUGCUGUCACUGAUCUUAGGAAUAGAGUAAGCUGUGCUACAUUCCACUUUUUAUUUUCCUCAUAUUAAUUCAGCUGAAGAUACAGCUGAAUACAGACAGUUCAUUGGAUUCUACGAUGCCGGUUUGUAAGCGAAUGGUUUGUUGAGACAGAUGUCAAUAUUGCACCUGAAAAGAAGACUCGUGCGAGAUAGCAUUGGAAUAAGGUUAUAUUCAGUGCUUUUUUCCUUAAAAGAAAAUGUUUAGGGGUACUCUCAUUUUCCUGUUUGUACAGUCAUACCUCAUGUUGCAUCUGCUUCAGGUUACGUGUUUUUGUGUUGCGUCCUGCGGCAACCGGGAAAUAACGGAACGGGUUACUUCCAGGUUUUGCCGCUCACACAUGCACAGAAGCACUAAAUCACACCCCACAGGAGCGCAGACCCGGCACUUGGGCUUGCGUCAGUUCCGUGUUAAGGAUGGGCCUCCAGAACUGAUCCCAUCCAUAACACGAGGUUCCACUGUACAGGGGUACCUCGGGUUACAGAUGCUUCAGGUUACAGACGCUUCAGGUUACAGACUCCGCUAACCCAGAAAUAGUACCUCGGGUUAAGAACUUUGCUUCAGGAUGAGAACCGAAAUUGUGCGGCGGCGGCACAGUGGCAGCGGGAGGCCCCAUUAGCUAAAGUGGUGCUUCAGGUUAAGAACAGUUUCAGGUUAAGAACGGACCUCCAGAACAAAUUAAGUUCUUAACCUGAGGUACCACUGUAUUGAAAUACUGCCCCUCAAUGAGGCCAAACUUAGACUCACAAAAUAUUUAGGGGUAUGCGUACCCCUGCAUCCCCCCAGAAAAAAAGCACUGGUUAUAUUUAUUAGAAUAUAACAAGUGGGAAGAGUUGCCAAUCUACAUUAACCCAAUUAACCAAUUCAAAGAAGUAGAGACAGGAAAGGAUUUAGCUAAUCCUAGUAGAGAAGCAUCUCUCCAGCCUUCUAGGCAUGUGAUGCAGUCUCAGCCUGUGGCUUCCCAGCUUAGGGUGGGGUGGGGGGGAUAGCCUCCUGCUUGCUAGAAGUGUCGGUUAUGAAAUCAGCACAUGCACUCAGGUCGCACUGUGCAGCAUUUGCCUAAAAUGCCAGGCCUAAAGAGCAUCCACAAGUCCCACCAGGUAUAAAGCACUGGCAGAUCCCUGAAAGCUGCUCUUAACCCAAUAAUGCCUCAGUUUCCCAACUGUUUUCUCACACACUGCCUUACCUGCCCAUGCUCAAUGUCCACCAUGACUACCAGACCACACAACUCCCAGACUGCCCACUGAAUUAGUCCCAGCAGUAGGAGAAAAACAGGACAACCCUAAGGCAACUCAAGGAUUUCUCCCUCAAAAAUUCCGACUCAGCCCCUUCAACAAGACACACCAAAGCCCACACAGCAUACAGGGAGGGAGGGAGCUGCAAAACUGCAAGGAGGAAUAGCUGGGAGAGGAGCAGUCUUAUGAGGCCAAGCUUCCCGCCUUCCCUGUUGACUGUUAGGCCUCAAAUGACUUCCUUUGGGGAGCAACUAAAAUUCCUGAGUCAUCUUUGUUAAGAGGGGAGUGAGGGCAAACAUAUCUUUUUUUAUAUAUAUAAAAUAUUUAUUGAAAUUUUCAAAGUGUUACAACAUAAAAUAAAAGCAGAAGAAAAUACAAAAUAAAAAUACAAAUUCAAAAAUAAGAAAAAAAAGACAGAAAAAAAGAAAAAAAAUACAAUUUAAGAACAUUUAAAAACAAAUUCAUUAUUCUCGAAUCCUCAACUGUCAUUACCUUCUUUCUUUGACCUCCUCCUCCUCCCUUUCUUUGUAUCCUAGUUAUUAAUUAUCCCAGCAAAUCCUUUCCAUAUUUCAUAAUAUUCUGUCAUUACAUUACCCUAAACAGUUUUAAUCUUAUCUUUCUAAAAGAAAAUAAACCUUAAAGCUUAAAACUUAAAUCUUAUCCUUACCAACUUCUCAUAACCAUAAUAUUCUUUCAUAAUUCUUUAAACAUCUUUACUAAAGCCGAGUAAUUUCAUUCCAACAUUUUUCUGACAUUCAUCAAUUUUAUAAAACAAUUCUAAUGGUAGAAAAAAGAAAUACAAACAGAUCCAAUCUUCAUCCAACGUCCCUUCCUCCUGGUUCUGGGUUUUGUCAGUCCUUAUUAUCCCAUCGAUCUGGCCCAUUAACCUGGCAACCUUAUAUCCAAGGCCCUCAAGUCUCUUCCAUGUCCCUUUCGCAGCUCUUCUUCAUAUUUGUAACUGUGUUUUCUCUUGUCUCCUGCUCGUGGUAACUCCAGCUUGGCAAUUUUUUUAACCCUUCUCGACAGAUCAGCCCCUUUUCCAUAUUCAGCACUGAAUUCCAAAUGGUAUUUUAAAGCAUGUUUCAAAGACCCUCCAAAAUUAAGAGCCCCCACAAUCCCAAACAUCUCACGGCACAAUGCCAGAUUUGAAAAGUCCAAACAUCCCAGCAUGGGGGGGGGUCAAUCCAGCCCCCCAUUUCCAAGCCAAACCAAACUUUUUCUUUCCAAAUCUGGCUUUUUCCAAGUUCAUUUGUCAAAUCCGAAAACUCAUAUUCCUGUUGGGCCUGUUCUGUCAGAACACACACUCCUGAUUUAAUUCCUGGGUGGGCUCCACAUAUUUACCCACUGUCUGUUCAAAAUUUCCCACUGCCUGUUCAAAAUUUCUAGUCGAAGUCGUCAUCAAAUUCACCUUCUCAUGUAACUGUUCCAGUAGGGCAUUUGUUUUGUAGAAAGCACACAACAAAGCUUCUGAAUACAUUGUUCUGCAAGGUCAAAUGCCUAUUCCCACGAUUGCAAUCUGUAAACAGCUGCCAGCUCCCUGGAGUUGGUUACAGUUUCACAGUCUCCCUCUAGGGGGAAAACUUCUAUUUGAUCUUGCAACAAAGUUUCCCUUUUUGAGAUAUUUUGUCAAUAUUUGUUCCUUUGAAAUGCGAAGGGAAACAGUGGAAUCACUAUGUUUCUCUUCUUUUAGCUAUCUGUCAAAAACGUUUGUCUCUGGUCAAUGAACUUCAAACGUCAGUCCUGACACCCCGCUCCAGGAUCAGGACGUAGGAAAGUUGCUUUACUUUAAACUCACUUUAAACAGUCCAAAACAGAUCCCCCUUCUUCUCCUGCUGUCGAAGGGGGGUUCCACAAUUUUAAAUGAUGAAAUCCAAUCCUUUAAAAGCGAUUUUCUGAGCUCUAGUUUACGUUGUCUUUGCUUUAUUCUGUCUACAGAAGACCGGAAGGCUGACUUCCUGUUUAGACCUUCCCGUUCCGUACCAAAUUGAAAUAGAUUUUUAAGAUCCAAUUCCUUUCUGCUCACAAGUCCCCAUCUAAUGUCCAGUUGUUCAAAGUCUAAGUACUCACGGGUGCUUAUUUUAGAGUCCAAAUUGUCCCAGGAAAAAGGCAGCGCUCUCCGGCAACGGCUAUGCAGCUUCGCUCCACGGAAAUAGCAGUUGACUCACAGCACCGCGCCACUUCCCCCUCUUCACUUCGGAGCCCGUUAGUGGGUUCCUUAGCGAGUUGGGGGGGCGCUAAAGGUGCCCGCCGAGUCCCAUGGUCACAGGCUUCAUCCGCCUGUGAUUUUUGAAAGGGUCCCCGCUUCGCCGUAGCGGAGAAGACCCGUUUCCCACGGAGCUAGUCCCUCCAGUUCAGAGGGAGUCCGCCAUUGCCGAUGGCGCCACCCCGGAAGUGAGGGCAAACAUAUCUCUGCCGUAUGUGCAGAAAUGAUAUUCUUGUGAUUCUUCUUCCUAUGCAGUGGCACUUUAGAAUCAUAAAAGCAUUCUGACAAGAAGUGCUUAGGUGUGGAAGUUUGCCUUGAAGAAAGGAGGAGUGUGUUGUAGCAGAUAGUCAGGUAGACCCAAUACAUUUCAGACCCUCCAAGUGUCCCUAUUUUCCAAGACAGUCCUAGAUUUACAGAAGCUGUUCCAGUUUCUGAUUUGAUUCCUGAAUGUCCCACUUUUCCUUAGGAUGUCCCUAUUUUCAUCAGAGAAAUGUUGGGAGGAUAUGGCUAUUUUCAUCGGAGAAAUGUUGGAGGGUAUAGAGUUGUGUGACCCCCCCAAGCCAAGGAGAUAAGUAACUAUAAAAUCUUUAGAAGACAUCUGAAGGGAAGUAUUUUAAUGCUUAAUGUUUUAUUAUGUUUUUAUAUAUGUAGGAAGCCACCCAGAGUGGCUGGGGCAACCCAGCCAGAUGGGUGGGGUAUAAAUAAUAAAAUUAUUGUUAAUAUGAUGAUGGAAUAGGACGUCCUUAUUUUCAUCAGAGAAAUGUUGGAGGGUAUGACAUUUUGCUACCUGAGUUGACAAAAUGGCACCACCCACCCCCCACAUUCAAGCAAGAGGCUUUGUCCAAGUUACAGAGCACAAGCCAAGCAAAAACACUCAGGGAGGCUGCAAAGCAGGGCCAGGGAGGGGUGUGGCUAUUUAUAAGAAGAAUAUUCAGAUACUUGUUCCCUUGUCUGCAGUCUGAAAGGGAGCAUACAGAAAGAGAAACGCUGUUUAGAGCAGAGCUUUCCAAACUUUUCAUGUUGGUGACACACUUUUUAGCCCGCCCUGUGGAACGCCCUUCCAUCAGAUGUCAAGGAAAUAAACAACUAUCUGACUUUAGAAAACAUCUGAAGGCAGCCCUGUUUAGGGAAGUUUUUAUGUUUGAUGUUUUAUCGUGUUUUUCAUAUUCUGUGUUUUUUUUAAAAUGAUAUUUAUUAAAAUUUCAAAGAAAAGAAAAAGAUUACAUUAAUAAGAAAAUUAACAAUAAAAAGGAAAAAUACAAAAUACAAAAUACAAAAAAAGAAAAAACAGUUAAAAACAAUUCCAUCUUUUCAUCACUUCUCUUACAUUUACUUGUUUCCCGGACCUCCUCAUACCACCCUCUUUUGUAUUCCAAUUCAAUUUGUUAGUCCAGCAAUUCCUUUCCCUCCUUUUUAAUCCUGAUCUUUAAUCUUGAUAUAUUAUAACAUUAAAUUUUUACGUAUUAAAAAUCAAUUUUUCCAUAUUCUUUUAUACCAUUACAGCUAGAAACCACUUAACUUCAAUCCGACAUCAUUCUAACAUUCAUUAAUUUUACAAUAUUUCUGUAAGUAGUCUUUAAAUUUCUUCCAAUCUUCUUCCACCGACUCUUCUCCCUGGUCUCGGAUUCUGCCAGUCAUUUCCGCCAAUUCCAUGUAGUCCAUCAUUUUCAUCUGCCAUUCCUCCAGUGUGGGUAGAUCUUGUGUCUUCCAAUGCUUUGCAAUAAGUAUUCUUGCUGCUGUUGUAGCAUACAUAAAGAAAGUUCUGUCCUUCUUUAACACCGAUCGGACGACUAUGCCCAGGAGGAAGGCCUCUGGUUUCUUCAAGAAGGUAUAUUUAAAUACCUUUUUAAAUUCAUUAUAAAUCAUCUCCCAGAAAACCUUAAUCCUUGGGCACGUCCACCAAAGGUGAAAGAAUGUACCUUCAGUUUCUUUACAUUUCCAACAUUUGUUAUCGGGCAAAUGGUAGAUUUUUGCAAGCUUGACUGGGGUUAUGUACCACCUGUAUAUCAUUUUCAUAAUAUUCUCUCUUAAGGCAUUACAUGCCGUGAAUUUCAUACCUGUGGUCCACAACUGUUCCCAGUCAGCAAACAUAAUGUCAUGUCCAACAUCUUGUGCCCAUUUAAUCAUAGCAGAUUUCACCGUUUCAUCCUGAGUAUUCCAUUUCAACAGCAAGUUAUACAUCUUUGACAAAAUCUUAGUUUUGGGUUCUAACAAUUCUGUUUCUAAUUUUGAUUUUUCCACCUGGAAGCCGAUUUUCUUGUCCAAAUUGUAUGCCUCCAUUAUCUGAUAAUAAUGAAGCCAGUCUCGCACUUUGUUUUUAGUUUUUCAAAACUCUGCAGUUUCAAUCUAUCUCCAUCUUGUUCCAAAAUUUCCCAAUAUUUCGGCCAUUUGACCUCCAUAUUGAGCUUUUUCAGAGCUUUCGCUUCCAUCGGUGACAGCCACCUUGGGGUUUUAUUUUCCAAUAAAUCCUUAUAUCUUAUCCAGACAUUAAACAAUGCUUUCCUGACAAUAUGGUUUUUAAAUGCUUUAUGUGCUUUGACCUUAUCAUACCACAAAUAUGCAUGCCAUCCAAAUACAUUGUUAAAGCCUUCUAGAUCCAAAAUGUCAGUGUUUUCAAGAAGCAGCCAUUCUUUCAACCAGCAAAAAGCUGCUGAUUCAUAAUAAAGUUUGAGGUCUGGCAGGGCAAAUCCACCUCUUUCCUUUGCAUCUGUUAAUAUUUUGAAUUUUAUUCUGGGCUUCUUGCCCUGCCAGACAAAUCUAGAAAUAUCUCUCUGCCACCUCUUGAAACAGUCCAUUUUGUCCACAAUUUGCAAUGUUUGAAACAAAAACAACAUUCUAGGUGUUUUUCAUAUUCUGUUGGGAGCUGCCCAGGGUGGGCAGGGUAUAAGUAAUAAAUUAUUAUUAUUAUUAUUAUUAUUAUUAUUAUUACUACUACUACUACUACUACUGACUUGUGGCAUCACAGAGGUGGGCUUUGUCACUGGCAAUACCAGUGUUGUGGAAUGCCCUCCAUGCUGAAACAUGGGAGGUUCUAUCAGUAUCGGCAUUCUGCCAGCUCUUGAAGGCACACCUGUUUGGUCAUGCAUCCCUCUGAAUUAUGCUUUAUAGUGGGCUUAUUCUGGCAUAUAUUUUAUGUUUUGAUGUAAUUGUUUUAUUGUGUAUGGAUAUUUUAUAACUGAUUAGAAGUCGUUUUAGAAUGCAAGUGGUAUAUAAAUCAAUAAUAGUAAUUCCAGAAGAGAAAGGCAGAAAGAGAAUGGAUGUGAUGAGAGGGGUUCUUAAGACUGCUUGUGGAUUCUCAGAAUAGCCUGUACAAAAGAAAUGCUGAGAGCCAGUGUGGUGUAGUGGUUGAGAGCGGUGGACUCGUAAUCUGGUGAACCGGGUUCGCGUCUCCACUCCUCCACAUGCAGCUGCUGGGUGACCUUGGGCCAGUCACACUUCUUUGAAGUCUCUCAGCCCCACUCACCCCACAGAGUGUUUGUUGUGGGGGAGGAAGGGAAAGGAGAAUGUUAGCCGCUUUGAGACUCCUUAAAGGGAGUGAAAGGCGGGAUAUCAAAUCCAAACUCUUCUUCUUCUUCUUCUUCUUCUUCUUCUUCUUCUUCUUUCUGUUCUGUAGUUUGGCAUGGGUCCAUUCGUCGUCUUCAUUCUUCUGACAUUUCCUUAUAUAUGUAUUAUUAUUUGUUUAGCAUUUGUUUAAUGUAUCUGCGCUCUUAAGGCGGGUGGCAAGAGUCAAUGAAAUACAUCUAUCAAAUAAUCCUGAAGUAGUCUAAGGAAAUACUUUUCCUGAUCCUUCCCAUUCAGCUUUUUCUGAUGUUAUGCAUGUUGCUCCAUAUUUCCUUUUGCUGAUAUCAGAUUCAGCCAACACAUGGGGUCUCCUGGAAAAACUACUCUUUCUCUGUGUGUGUGGUGCAUUUAAAUAAAUAAAAAAGGAGGCCAGUUAGCCAUUUGUUUUGAUAGGGUAAAUGCAGAGAUGUUGACUUUACAAUCAAAAGCAUUAUGACUCCAAACUUUCCAAACCCAAGUUGCGUGCUUCAGCCAACACCACCAACAUGUGCUCUACAUGAUUAAUAGUGUUUAUAAAGUACAUAAAAGAAUUUUGGAAGAAUAUGAUAUAAGGACAUUACUAUGUGCAUUUUUGGUGGGGGUUUUUUAAAACCCAACAUGAUAAAUAUACAGUUGGACUUUGCUUUCUUGACAACAGUUAUUUAUGAAAGAAGAAAAAUCAGAAAUAAAUUAGGCAAGCCAUGUGAUUUUUCUCAAAAUGAAAAAAAAAUAAUGCUAACAGUCCAAUAUCCAGAUUUGUGCUGACCAUUUUCUUAGCUUGACUGAUGUUACUAAUGUGGUUCUUCCCCACUCCUCCAAAAUAAAUAAAUAAAUAGCUGUUUCUCUCUUGAAGUUCUGCCAUUAAACUGCAUGGGGAUAAUUCUUACAAACAUAAGAACAGACAUGCUGAGUUAACCCAACCAUAUACAUCACUCAUCAUUUUCCUUACAGACAGUAGACCAAGAAGGGAGCACAAGCAGAGAGUGAUGGGUGUCCUUCUGAUGUUUAUAGCAGGGAAUAGAUGGCAGAGGGAGAGAUUGGUCUGCAAUCUAUUAUUAGCUCAGCUAAUCUCUAUUAGCUCAGCCAAGAGACCAGCAACUGUUGGUUUCAAGUGAAUAGGGAUACAUGGUUAUUAAUAAAUGUUUCUAUGCUUUCUAAACAUUCUUCAUUGGGAAACCAUCUAAGGCAAUUACAAACCAUCGUAGUACUAAUAAACAUUAUUUACACUUACAAAAAUUUACAGCAGAAAUGAUCAAACAUACACAAAAUUCAAACAAAGUUUCCUUUAUUACAAUCAUUAAAUGUUUACUCACAUGUUAAGUCUUGUCAGGAUUUAGCAUAGAAACAGUGAAGAAUAUGAAGCAGGCAGUGCAGUGAUACUUAUAAGUUACUUUCUACAUACUUAAGUACUUAAGAUACUGCUUGCUUUCUGGAGAGAGCAAACAACUUGCCCAUCCCCAUCAACAGGUAAACGAAAAAGAGGUCAGGAGGAAAUAGUAGGGCUUAAAAUCCUUUGUCUAAGUUCCCCAGGAAAUGACAUCACAGAGGUGACCUCUCUAGGAAUUCAGCUCUCUGUGAGGCUUAACCCCUUUAUACAGUAAACAUAAUUGUCAUUUUGGCUGCAGAUUUUCUCCAAAAAAUGAGACCCAGCUGAAAAGUGUCAGCCUGUUAAACAUGGCAAGCUGAGGAUGGGGGAGCGGAGCACCAUGUGGGCUGACAGGAUGAAUCUAGGACUGUGGCCAUGGGAGAAGUGGGUCCCUCUUGGAGUGUAAAGCUGGAAGCCCCAGCAUCAUAGGCUCAGAUUGUAUAUAUGUGUAAAUAGACCAUAUAUUUGAUAAAGACACCACAGUUUCCACUGUGUUUCCAUUUGCAAAGGAAACACAAACCCCAGGUAAGUGCCUGGACUUCUGGGAUCUUGCACUGCUUUGGAGAUUGGGGUGGCACAUAACAAUAUAAGAAGAAGAAGAAUAUAACAAUAACAUAACAUAACAUAACAUAAUAAUAAUAAUAAUAAUAAUAAUAAUAAUAAUAUAUUAUAUAUUUUAAUAUAUAUAAUAAUAUAAUGUAACAUAUAGUUAUAUAUUAUAUAAUAUAUGUUGCUUGAUUAGGCAUUGAAGAGUGCAAUGUAAAUGUUAGAAAUAAUUUUCAGAAAAAAUAAUCUCAUAUCAUUAGCUUGAAGCUCUCAUAUGAACCAUUUAUUAUGAAUUUGGUCAAUAUACAUAUACAUGUGUAUGUUGAUCAGUUUAUCCUGUCACUUUCGGUGAGUCUGAAAUUUGCAAGUAAUAGACACAUCCUUUGGUCAUUAGUCUUGAGUUAGCUGCCCUUUUGCUGAUUUUUAAAAGCCCCAAGGGAAGAAGAGAAACAUUUAUAAAGGCAUUCUAAUCUUUAACAUAAGCUGAGCCUUUGAUUGUAAAAUGUAUCAUUUGGUCAUCUUGGUUUUUAAAAUGCAGUCCCAUUCCCUAAAUCCAUCACUUGUUGCAGCUGUUCUGUCUUUAGCACCUGUAAGUUUACCCCUGAGAGGCUCCAGACCUAACGAAAAUAUUUUAUAGGCAUCAGGUCCAAUGGCUGGAUGUUCAAGCAUUGUUUUUUCAAAUAAAUGUACUCCCCACCAGAUUAGUCAACCAGAGAGACACAGUGGUACCAAAAGACCCAUGAACUAAAGAAUCUGAAUUGAAACAGUCUGGACUCCUUUGACGAAAAUAAGCAAAUAAAAUAAAAUAAUUACUAAACCAUUUAAUGGGUGUCUAAUUCCUGCUUUAAACUCCAGUGCUCUUUUAAACACAACCUUCAGUUACUCUGUCAUGAAGAAGAAAGAGAUUUUUGUUAAGUACGCGCAACACCUGAGUGUUCAAAAGUGCAUUCUUAUGUGUUUACAUCCUGCAGUAAAUCCUACUAAAUUCAAUGGAUCUUACUCCAAGAAAAGCAUAUUUAGCAUUGCAGCCUCAUGGUUCAAUCCUAUUUAAAUUUAUUUGAAAGAAAGUCUAGGGAUGGGUGGAUUGGCCAAAAUAAAGGUGUUAUUAAUUGCACAAAUGUAAGUCAUAUGCAGAGUGUGUUAUUGUGUAUCUAUCAGGAAGGGUGAGGGAAAGCAGCACUGGGAAUACAGGUGAGAGACAGUGGGAUUAUAACCCUUUCCCUCCUCUACAACUACUAUUUGCCUCAGGAGCUAAGCCUCCAUUGGCAUUGCAAACAAACAAAAAAGCAGUGCUAUUUUUCUAAAAGAGAGGUGCCAGAACUCACCAUGAGUUCUCUUAUAAUGGCAGUGGCGGACACCUGAGAGGUGCUGUAACUGAGUUCCAGUGAGUUCCGGCUGGGAAAAAAAGCCCUGCAAAAAAGCACAUGUUCAUGCAAUUAACAUCACAUUUCAUUUGGCCCAAAGAUUAAGCAUUCAGGAAAUUUAUUAUACCUGUGCCCAACAAUUGGUACAGUCCUAUGCAUUUAGCUGGCUCUGCAGAACUAACUUUUGUGGCUGGAGGAUUCCAUAAUUAAGGUGCAAGCAAUUUGCUGCACAAUCCUCAGAGGUCAGUCCCAUUGACUUCACUAGAAUGUAGCUCCAGGUAAGUGGGGACAACAUUGCAGCCUCAAAGCCCUGUUGAUUUCACUGAGAAAAUCAAGCUUAAUGUCCACCAAAUCAUGUUUUUAAUUUUCUGUGUCCCUGAAAAAAGCUGGGAUUUUGGAUACUAUCUUGGAUCAAAAAGCUGUCAUUUGCUUUUCCAUGCUUAUUUUUAUUCUGAUUCGAGAUUACUCUGGUCUUGUACACAUAUUAUAUUGUAGAACAGUUGAUGUGUAUAUGGGAAAGAACAGGAUCACGCCUGCAGCCCCCUUCCCCGGCCAACGCAUUCAGUAUAACACAUUCACUGUGCCUAAGUGCAUCUAAUUUGACUGUACAGAUGUGCUCAGUCUUUUCAUUUCUUGGAAUUAAACUGCUCUUCCUCUAUGAGGAAGAGAUUGCAUCUUUUUAGUAGAAUUAUUUAUAGACCCCCUCCCCCCUAUCGCCAGUUCCAUGGAAAACUUCACAUUUCAUGUGCAAAAAUCUCCAUAUUGCAGCCUUGCAGUUCUAAAAGACACAGGGUUGUAGAAACACCUCCCCCCCCAAAAUGCUCUGAAGUAGACCCAUUGAAAUAAAUGGAAUUAAGCUAGUUGAUUUCAGUGGGUCGCCUCCUGAGUAUGACAAUUGGAUCCAAUCAACUAGUAUUUACCGUUUUCCCUCUUUAUUGCCUCUUUUGCAUUGGUGUCCUUGUAGGGCUGCUUUAAAAUCCUCUAUAGAGAUCAUUGGAUGACUUCAUUAUGUAACAUAAAAUCACCAUCCAUCAUUUUCCUCUAAAGGGGAAGUAUAGGGAGCUGACGACAUUAUUAAGCAAUAUAUUAUCAGAGACACCAUAAGGAUUUUUCGGAAUCUCUUAUAGAGGCCUCUAAAACAAGCUGCUUGCAACACCUGGUGCUUAUUUAUUUCCUGGACCAAAUCUCAAACCAUUGUUAGAGUUCCCAGUGGAAGAUAUUUAUGGUUUUAGGUUUUCGAGCAGGCAAAGCCUUCUUUAAGAAGAGGGGCUAUGUGUAAUGGAUAGAAAGUGAGAAGAUUCUAGAUUAAUAAAUCCCCUCUUUAUCCGAACAGAUCUGAGCAGAUUAAUGGCUUUGGUUGCUUCUAAGCUAUUAUUGUGCACAGUUAAUUACAUGUGAGCAGCAACCACUCACCGUAGCCUCAGAUAGUGGAAGAAGCUGUACAUUAAUACACAUUCGAAAUUGAAAGGUACCUGUGUAUUCAUUGUCAGGGAGCAGCUGGGAUCCUCCAUUCAUCAGCAAGACCCAUGGGGAAGAACAUCUGCAAAAUACACAUCUGGGAACUCAUCUGUCUCAUGCCUUCACUCUCCAUGUGUUAUGUCAAAGCUCCUCAACCAGUGCAUUCAACCUCAGCUGCUGGUUGUGGACUCUCCAGCAUAUUCAGCUGUACCACUUGUGUGUUCAGAUUCCCAUCCGGCAAUUUAGUCAUUGCCGUUCUCCAUUAAUGGAGGCAAGAGGGUUGUCCAGGAUUCUAGAGGCCAAUGACACAUGGUGCUGAAUGCUUCAUUGAUGGAGACACACAUCUUUCCCCAACCUUCAACAGCAAGAUCGGAACAGUAGUGUGCAGGAAGGGACGUUAACACUUCCUCACCCAAAGAAAUAUCCCACCCCCUCCCCAAGCACCCAGUGGCAUCAGUGAUCUGCCUCACCUCCAAACCUGCAGUUUGCCAAAGGUAGACUCACCUUUAAAUGCAGACCAGGUCAAAUUUCUCCUCCAUCUCUUGGGCUCUUGUUGAAAACCCUGAGGUGGAAAUAGCACAUAAGAUGUGGCAUGUGUUUUUUCCCUCUUUCCGCCUUAACAGCACCUUCUUCACACUAUUUUCUCUCACCACGAAGGUGCCUUUGAACCUUCAUUCUAAGCUUAUUCCCCCCUCAUUCUAAACUGCGGGAGUUUUAAAAGCAUAAUUCAGAAUUGAUGGUAUUAAUUUCUCUUUGUGGGAGAAUCCUAUGGGACUGAAACAAAGCAACACGAGUCAGUUAUCUUCCCAUGUUGUGAUUUUUGGUAACUGUAGACAUUGUUUAAGAAUCAGCUAUUCCUGUUUCUUCACAUAACAUAGCUUGGAAUAACUCCAACAGUAUACAUUCAAACCAUGUCCAUCACAUUAUAUUUAGCUGGAAGUCCCCCUAUUUCAUAUCUCUGACUGCUUAUUACUUUUGCUUUUGACAAUUGCAUGGUGAGCAAAAAGUACCUGAGAACAUGAUGGAAGGCACGAACUACUUUAAGAACCCAAAAUCCUGUGGUUUAACACCAGGAUAUAUUUGCCUUGUCAAAAGAGCAAAAAAUUCAAAUGAAUUAAAAUCUGUAUUGGCAUGUAAGUUAUUGUUCUCUGAGUGCUGAGGUGAGUAAUGGGGCAGACUAAGCCAACUAGGUUGAUGUGGCCAUACACUUUUGAAAGUGUCACAGGACUUCUUUUAUGUGUGGUGAGUGAACACAUAUAGAUAUGGCUACCAGUGGUGGGUGAAAUCUCAUCACUCAGUUUAGGAUUGCUGCACCUUCUUACAUUCUUAAGAGAACCCUGUGUGUACUCCAAGUCCCAGCCAGCAUGGCCAAUGGUCAGGGAUGAUGGGAACUGCAGUCCAAAGCAUCUAAGAAAAACCUUCUGGAUCAUGGCAGUGGCUCAUCUCCUGCAGUUUCCAGCAAUUGGUAAGGCACCAGGUUGGGGAAAGGUGAUGUAAUAAUAAUAAUAAUAAUAAUAAUAAUAAUAAUAAUAAUUUAUUAUUUAUACCCCGCCCAUCUGGCUGAGUUUCCCCAGCCACUCUGGGCGGCUUCCAAUCAAGUGUUAAAAACAAUACAGCAUUAAAUAUUAAAAACUUCCCUAAACAGGGCUGCCUUCAGAUGUCUUCUAAAGAGAAGAUAGCUGCUUAUUUCCUUGACAUCUGAUGGAAGGGCAUUCCACAGGGCGGGCGCCACUACCAAGAAGGCCCUCUGUCUGGUUCCCUGUAACCUCACUUCUUGCAAUGAGGGAACCGCCAGAAGGCCCUCGGUGCUGGAUCUCAGUGUCCGGGCUGAACGACGCUCUUUGUCCCGACCUUCAGAUGAAUGUGUGGAGGUCAGUGCAAUCGAUCUCCCUCCCUUCCCCUUCACACAUUCAAAGAAUGCCUGAAAGGGGUUCUUCUCUCCUCCUAAUCCACCUACAGGUUUUCUUUGUGGCUUUAAGCGCGGUAAGAAUUGCAAAGGCCUUUGGCAACCGCGACGCAUAAAUUAUUGCUCUAAAAAGAAAGCGAUCUUUAUGAGGGCUUCAUCAGAAGCACAUGUAUCUAAGUAUUAGGAAUAUAUUAUUCCACAGGACUUGGCGACGGCCCAGAAGCCGGACCGCUGCGCGCAACAUUGGCCCGUGCAAUUUGAGAAGCUGCUGAGCAUCCCAAACAAGAGCAGCAACGAUAAGAGAUAGCAAGAAAGGUUGAAGAGCUGGUCAUGUUUAGCUUAGGGGCCUGAAGGCUCCAGGGUGAUGGUGAUAUAAUGGUUCUCAGAUCUUUGAAAGUAAGCUGCAAGCAGGAUGGCAAACAACUGUUGGCUGAGUGGAAUUUGACUGCAUAGCCCAUAAAUGAUGACUGAACUGUCAAACCAACCAAAAUGUUUAUUCGGCUUUACGCCCAUCAUAAAGCACAACACACAAAACAAAUCAAAUAAAACAGCGGUCUCGAACAAGCCACAAGUAAUAUAACACAAUUCACAGCUCACAAGGACAAAUAUUGGCAAAUCAAAACAGAAAUUUAAGAUUAAAGUUAAAAAUUUGGGCACUACGCUAAAUCAAUUUCUGAUGUCAAUAUCAAAAAUUCUUAUAAGUAUCAAUAAUCAGUUAACAUUCCAUUCCGUCUCUUGUACGAGAGAACGGCUGUUAGGAAUUUAGCAACCUGUAGAGUAAUAUAAGGAUCUACAUCUUGAAGAACCCAGGCAAGCUGUAGGUCUACUGGUUUGUCAGCCAUAGGCUGGAUUAUGGAGUUUAGUAUACUAGCGCGAGCUAAACUGUACAUAGGGCAGAUAAACAUAACAUGAUGUAAAGAUUCAGAUGUUUUCAUUUCACAAGCACACAUUGAAGGGACUUGGCCCUUAGUGAAUCUAUGUCUCAGCACGUUUGUUGGGAAAACAUUGAACCUGGCUCUAAUGAAGGCAUAUCGGUGAGAUGCGGCUAUAAGCGAUGUUAAGUAGGACGGAGCACGAUAGAUAGGGGUUAUGCCGAGAUUUAACGGGGAGCAGGCUCCACCACCAGCUAAGAAAUUUUGGUAUAGCUCCACAUCAUCCAGCCUUUGAUUUAUACACCUUUUGCCGCGUUUAGAUCCAGUUUGAGCAAUUCCGUGGGCGAGAUCUCAUAGGACAGCAAUUUGGCAUGGAUUUUUCCUGACCACAAAUUUGUAAAGUCAUCCCGCCACAUGCAUUGAAUGAGAUAGUGGUUCGGUAGUUUAUGCCAUAGGGAUAUCCAAUAAAUCAAAACUCUCCUCCAUAAAACUAACUCCACUGAGGGGAUCUUCAUUUCUAAGCGAAUAGCCGCAUUACUUACGCAUGUUGGUAGUUUUAAAAGUCGGCGUAAGAAUUGGCUUUGAAGCGACUCUAAAGGUGAAAGGUUUGCAAAGGCAGCCCAUAAAGGUGCAGCAUAGGCCAUUGUGGCCAUCACUUUGAUGCUAUACACUUUCAAGGCCGCAGGAAUGAAUAAGGCCCCCUCAGAGUAGAAAAACGGAGGAGGGAGUGUGAUAGGGCUUUUGUCUUGUUUUGAAGAUAUUCAACGUGCUCUUUCCACCCUAGAUUAUAUUGAAAAUAAAUUCCUAAAUAUUUAAAUUUAUGUACUUGUUCAAUUUUCGUGCCCUCCAAUUUCCAUGAAUAUAAUUUUCGACUCCUUGAAAAUAUCAGUACUUUGGACUUGGUGUGGUUGAUAGACAGAUGAUUAGAAUGGCAAUAUGAUGCAAAAAUCUUUAGUGCCCUCCUUAAACCCACUCUGGAGUAAGAGAGUAGUACCGCAUCAUCUGCGUAGAGAAGUAAAGGACAACGAUAAUCUGCUAUACGGGGGGUGUGGAUAAAUUUUUGUGAGUCGAUUAAUGGGUUCCUCAUAUCACUGAUAAAUAAGUUAAAAAGAAGAGGCGCUAAAAUACAACCCUGGCGUACACCCUUAUUUACUGGCACUGGGUUAGUUAGGUCUCCAGCAGGGGAUAUUCUUACCCUGGCCACGGACCCGGCAUGAAGUUGGGAGAUAAGCCACAGGAGCCUUCUAUCUAUUCCCCAGCAGGCAAGUUUAUCCCAUAGUAAUUGCCUCGGAAUACUAUCAAACGCAGCUUUCAAAUCUAUGAAGGCUGCGCAAAGUUGGCCCCGUCGAGGUGUCGAGUAUUUCCGGGCUAAGUGAUAAAGAAUAAUUGCCUGAUCUGUUGUGGAUCGGUUUAAUCUAAAUCCAGCUUGCUCAUGCCCAAUCAGGUCAGCCUCAGCUGACCACUUCAUCAGCCUUGCCAGCAAAAACGGGCAUAUAUUUUCCCAAUGGACGAUAGCAGACUGAUAUUCCGGUAAUUCCCUGGGUCACCGGGAGAACCUUUUUUGUAGAUAGGAAUUAUAAUGGCCUCCUUCCACGUACCUGGUAUUAAGCCCGUGGCAUUUAUUGCGUCAAACGUUUUAGCUAAAAUCCCUGCCCACCAUGCAGAAUGUAGCUUUAUAGCCUCAACAGGGACCAAAUCUGGCCCAGGGGCCUUACCAGUUUUCAGCUCAGCUAUCAAUUCUAGGAUUUCAGCAGGGUCGGUAUUGUGCCAGACGGGAAGGGGAUUAGAAGGUCUCCAGCGAGUGGCCGGAGCUUCUGCCACUGAGAAAUAUUUUCUCAGGAACUGCUCCCAUGUAGGGGCCGGGAUCACCGUUAAGGGGUAUUUCGUGUUUCUUCCCUUUAUUAAGGACCAAAAUUUCCGGGAGUUAUGAGAUUUUGCGGUAGAAAUUAUAGUCUGCCAGCGAUUUAAAUGCCAUUCCCGUUUGGCCGAUUUCUGGGCCUGUUUGUAUGCUUUUUUAGCCAGGGAAUAAGAUGGAGGUAAGGCCAGAGCGCCGGAAAGUGAACUGUCAAAGCUUUGGGAUUAAAUACCAGAGUCUUCAAACCAUCAGAAUAUUUAAAUCAAUCUUCACGAGCCCAGUGCUGCACUGGCUAGGGCUGAUGGGAGUUGUAGUCCAAAACAUAUGGAAGGCACUCUGGAAGGCUGGUGAAGCUUGGUUUAAACUAUGUAUCUUUUUGUAUGUUCUUUCAUAUGUGGUGGACCUGUAAAAGGGUAAAAGAUUAUUGGGAAGUAAUUGAUAAUGAAUUGAAAAAAAUGUUUAAAAGCACCUUUCCAAAACCAAAAACCAGAGUCCUUUUUGUUGGGGAUAAUUCAGAUGGAAAUUCCCAGGUGUCAAAAAAGGUUAUUUAUGUAUGCCACUAUGGCAGCCCGUGUUUUGUUAGCCCAAAAAUGGAAAACGAACAAGGUCCCAGCCAAAGCAGAAUGGCAACUUAAACUGAUGGAAUAUGCACAGCUUGCCGAUUUAACUUACAAAAUAAGAGAACUAAGAAGAAUAUUCUUUUAAAGAAGAUUGGAAAAUGUUUAUUGAAUAUAUUGGGGGAAUUGCAUACAACUGAAAAUGUUGGCAGCAUUAAGAUAAAUUCAACAGUGUAAAUAAUCUUUGAUGGAAGUAAUGAUGGAAUACUGAAUGGUUUAGUUUAUAUAAAAUAUGCAGGGAUUUAUGCUAUGCAAAAUGAACCAUGGGGAGAGAAGAUGGGAAUUCAUUGAUAUUUUAAGGUUGUUUAAAUGAAUAUUCUAAAUUGUAAAACAGAAAAUUUUUAAAUUAAACAAACGAACGAUGUAUUUUUUGUACAAUAUCCCUGGGAAAGGUGUUAUAUAUUGGCAUGUCCCAUCACUCCAGUGGCAUUUGUGGCAUAGGAAGCUGCCUUCUACUAAGUAAGACCAUUGGUCUAUCUAGGUCAGUAUUGUCUGCACUGAUUGGCAGCAGCUCUCUGAGGUUUCAGACAAGUCUCUCUCCUAGCCCUACCUGGUUGUGUCCAGUCCAGGUAGCAACUGGCCAUUCUUGCUGCUUAGAGCAGCUGCAAUCUGUGUUUGUGGAGGGAACUUUCAAAACAGGCACUGGGAAGCUGUGGCCCUCCAGAUGUUGCUGAACUACAACUCCCAUCAGCAAGCAUGACCAGUGGUCAGGGGGUGAUGAGAACUGUAGUUGUAGCAACAUCUGGAGGGCCAAAGGUUCCUCACACCUGUUUAAACUAUUAAAGGCAGUCCUUGGGCCACCUUGGAAACAUUUGUCAUUUGGGAGUGCAUUUUGGAGCGUGUGUUUUUAAAAAACUGCAAAUUGAAAUGGAUGGUAUGGAUGGUGUUUUUCUUUUUUCCAGAUAGGAAAAAGAAAUUAUCCAAAAGCAAGAAGGAAGUAAGGACAUGAAUGCUGUCUGUUGGUUGGAAGAUGUUGAAGAAAUCCCCUGUGGAAAAACAACAAAGAAAGGUACCAGGAAACAAAGUAUUAUUUUCAUGUUCUGCCAUUAGCUUGCCACCUGUUAGCUGUGAUCAUUACCCAGAGCUGAAAGGGGAAAGGCUAAUCUCUUGCACAUUUAGAUCAACAAACUCAAACAAAACCUGCCUAAUUAUCCCAUUGAACCUGUGUCAGUUUUUUAAAUCCAGCUCCCUUUCCCAGCUUGGCUGCAAGCCAAGCCCAGCAAGCUGGUGUCCAUAAGCCGCAUGCUAAUGACAAUGUCCUUUCAUUCCAGGAAUGAUAUAAUUGCCAAAAGCAGUUUACAGACUCAUUAUUUUUAUGGUCAUAUUUCAGAGGAAGAGUCAAAGGUCAGUCUAGGGUUUGCUUGGGAGAGUAUCGGAUCUUGCCUAUUGAGAGCAUGCAGCAGCAGCACCACCACACCAGCUCCCAAAGAGCAAAGUGUUAUCCCCGGGUUAGCCAGGAUUCCCACUGUCACAGCAAUGACAACCUAAGAAUGAUUCAGGUGGUCAGUUUUUACACAGCCCAUUGCUAAUCCGUACUUAAAGAAAAUCCCCCUAUGAUGUGAAAACAAAUAAUUCAUUUAGAUGUUGAAUUGAGCACAAGCAUUUUGUCCAGAUAAAUUUGACAUGCUUUAUUUAGUACACUUUUAUUCUGCUGUUCAUCAUAAUAAUGUUGUCACAUUUUUUGCCAGUUUUUUGGGAGGUGGGGAGGGGGAAGUGCUGAAUUUGUGUGAGUGUUCUUGCAAGUAUGAAUGAGAUUGCCCUGCCCACAUUCUGUUUCCACCCCACAUUCAAACAUAUUUGUUCAGGAAGGGUAUUUCAUCACACACACACACACACACACACACACACACACACCAAGAAUGUCCACAUGGGUGGAUUCCACAACUCCAAAGUAUCAUUUUUCACCAAAUCAUUUAUAUCGGUUUUUAACUGAAGCUAACCAAGGCAAGUUCUCAUUUCAUUGUUUCCUACUUUCCUAGGCAAAGGAGGUACAAGAAAGAAGAGGACGAGAUCAAGUGGGUGUGAAAGGAAGAUCAGAAAGGGGAACAAGCUGCUAGUUAAAUGUAGGCAAUGUGGAGCCCUCCUGAACUUGGUUGGACUACAACUCCCAUCAUCCCGGACCAACGGCCAUACUGGCUGGAGCCAGUGGGAGUUGGAGUCCAGCUACAUCUGGAGGGCACUAUAUCGGCCAGAUGUGUACUAGGUCGUUGCAAAACCCGAUAACCAGAAUGCUGUGGUCAUGAUGGUGGUGAUUGAUUGUGACUCUUAGCAGUAGUGUUGUUUAGUUUUGAAUGUGGCUUUCCUAUUGCAUUUCUUAUAUUGAUUGCUUUUUUGCUGGGACUUGUAAACUGAGAGAUUUCUGUUGAAAGAUGAAGUAAAUAAAUAGAUAGAUUUGGGGUGUAAAAUUCAGGACUGACAAAACACAGCACUGCAGAAUUCUGUUCCCACAAGAAGCAGUGGUGGCCACCAUUUUUGAUGGUUUUGAAAGAGGAUUGGACAAAUUCAUGGAGGGUAAGACUAUCAGUGGCUACUAGCUGUGAUAUCUAUACUCUGUUCUCCAUGGUGAGGGGCAGCAAUGCUCCUGAAAUACCAGUAGCUGGAGACCACGGGAGGGGAGAGGGCUCUUGUGCUCAGGUCCUGCUUGUGGGCUUUGCCUAGGCAUCUGGUUGGCCCCUGCAACAAUAUGAUACUGUGAUAGAUCACCCUUUGGCCUCUUCUUGUGUUCUUACAUUCUUACAUUUCCAUUUCAGACAGCAGAGAUCAAUGCUGAAGACCAAAUAUUCACUCUGUUUGGAGAAUAUUUGUCUUCUGGUUUUGCUUGGGAGAACUGGGGCAGGGGGUUGUUUUAACUCCAGGACUGCAGAAGUGGGCAAAUGGUAUCUGCUGUAAAACCAUAGUUGAAUUAUAAUAAAACAAUACCUCAGUGGUAUAUUAUAUAAUAAAAUGAAAACAGCAUAUUAACUGAAACAGUAAAACUGUAAUUAAACGCAUACAUCCCUUACAGUGCAAGCUUAUAAUGUCUACUCAGAUGUAAGCCUCACUGACCUCAAGGGGACUUACUCCCAGGUAAGAAUGGGUAUAGGGUUGCAGCCUUAAUGUCCCAAAGCAUGUUGGCUAACUUUAUAGAUCCUCUGCCAUCUGCAGUUAAUUACUGUAGUUUUACUAUUAGCAGGUCAAUAAACUUUUGAUCACCUCUUUAUUCUUUUAUUGGGUUCUGUGCCAGCUUAUGUUUCAGUGUGAGGUUCAGUAACAAGUUUUUCCCUGAAAUAGGGAAAAUUAAUAAUUUUGAGGUGUUUGACAUGUUUCAAGGGCAGGGAUUAUAUGCUGCUUUGGGUGAUGGAACUAAUCAUUUAUUUAUUUUUUUGCCAAGGGAAUUCUGUAAAAUGCCAUGUGCGCUGACAACAAUCGGAUUAAAACACUAUUAAUAACCUCUGCAGUUCAAGCUUGUUCCUCAGUGACAGUUCAACAAGGCAAGCCUGUGGAUAUCAACUCACAGGUAAGCUCCACUGUGUUCAAUGGGAUUUAUUCACAGGAAAGAGUGCAUACCUCGGCCUAAGUGUACAUAACUCUGGGCACAAGAGUUUCAACCUGCAAACAGAAUUUUCUCAGAUAUUCAAGGGCCGGUAUCCUGUUCUCACAGUGGCCAACCACAUGCCCAUGAGAAGCACACAAGCACAUCCUGAACAGCAGUGCAUUGUAGCUCUUGAACAGAAAAAGAGAAAUAUUACUGAUGUUGACAUUACGGUUUACAUUUUACCUACAAUUUACACUGGGUACCUACGGAAUAUCAGUUACUUGAUUUUGGCAGCAUAUAAAUAGUCUAAAUAUUACUCUGGAAGAAUUGCUUCUUGUAUUAUUAUUUUUAAGCAAUUUAAAGAGGCAUAAUUCUGUUUCACUGUUGCUAAUCGAAGGCUUUGUAUUGCAAUUCUUGUUGGUGUUGGAUCAGAGCCUCGGUUUUUACUGUGUGCUGCACUCUCAGGACAAUAAAGAUUAGUGUGUUUAAAUUGGUUAAGGCUAAAGAAACAAGUGAGGAAACCAAAUCCUUGCCGCAUCCAUAGUAAAGAUGAAAUACACACACACACACACACACACACACACACACACACACACACACACACCGGUCCCCACUCAACAAAACAAAAGCUGUUUGCCCCCUCCCUCCUUCAUAUCUGAAACCCAUUAUUCUGUGAGUGUAAACCUAAAUAAUGAUAAUUAAUUGUAAGUAAAUAAGCUGGAACUCUCACCAAACUGUGUGUCUGUGUUUCAACUGAGAUGUAUCAUUUGACUGAGGGCAUUUUAAUGUUCGGUGUCUGUUUCAAUGAGGUCAUCAGAUGUGAUGGAGGAUAAGAAGCCUGGAUGUUUUUAAAGUGGUGCAUUGGAGGGAUUUUUUUGCCUAAUGUUGGGGGUUUCCCCCCCCUCACCAAAACAACUAUUAAAAGUACAGGGUCCCUGUCUUAUGUGAUGUUUGCUAAUCCUACGCAUACCAGUUUGAACUGGUUUUAUUAUUUGUUUUAUUUUAUUUUAAAUGUUUAGAAUCCACCCUUCUUCUAUAGCAAGGGUGGGAAAUCUUUUCGAGCCCUUGUGGACAACUUUCUGGAGGCCACAUAUUGGAAGUGGGCAGGGGCAGCUGCAAAAGUGAGUGGACUUUCACCUUUUUACAUUGCAGUCAGGAUAAAAAUCAAAGGAUCUUACACACACAACAUACCUCUCUCCAUCCUCCUUUCAGGCACAUCCGACAAGAAGCAAUUCCUUGGAACAAGAUGGAGAUAGACUGAAAUUGCAGAGUUUUGAAAAAUUAAAAAACAAAGUGCGAGACUGGCUUCAUUAUUAUCAAAUAAUGGAGGCAUUUAAAUUAGACAGGAAAAUUGGCUUCCAGGUGGAAAAAUCAAAAUUAGAAACAGAAUUGUUAGAACCCAAUACUAAGAAUUUGUCAAGAAUGUAUAACUUGCUGCUGAAAUGGAAUACUCAAGAUGAAACGGUAAAAUCGGCUAUGAUUAAAUGGGCACAGGACGUAGGACAUAACAUUAUGUUUGCUGACUGGGAACAGUUAUGGACCACUGGUAUGAAAUUUACGGCAUGUAAUGCCUUAAGAGAGAAUAUUAUGAAAAUGAUAUACAGGUGGUACAUAACCCCAGUCAAGCUUGCGAAAAUCUAUCACUUGCCCGAUAACAAAUGUUGGAAAUGUAAAGAAACUGAAGGUACAUUUUUCACCUUUGGUGGACGUGCCCAAAGAUUAAGGUUUUCUGGGAAAUGAUAUAUAAUGAAUUAAAAAGGUAUUUAAGUAUACCUUCCCCAAGAAACCAGAGGCCUUUCUCCUGGGCAUAGUGGGCCAAAUGGUGUUAAAAAGGAUAGAACUUUCUUUAUGUAUGCAACAACAGCAGCAAGAAUACUCAUCGCAAAGUAUUGGAAGACACAAGAACUUCCCACGCUGGAGGAAUGGCUGAUGAAACUUAUGGACUACAUGGAAUUGGCGGAAAUGACUGGAAGAAUCCGUGACCAGGAGAAGAGUCGAUGGAGGAAGAUUGGAAGAAAUUCAAAGACUAUCUUCAGAAACACUGCAAAAUUAAGGAAUGUUAGAGUGAUGUUGGAUUGAAAAUAAGUGGUUUCCAGCUGUACAGGUUAAAGCUAAGGAUAGAUUAAGAUUAAAGAUUAAGAUUAAAGAUGUUUAAAGAAAUGGAAAUUUGAUAAUAAAAGGGAAAAAUUUAAAGGUAUAUGACAUUAAGAACAAGGAUUAUGUUUAAAAAAGUUGAAGCUAUAUAGUUUAAUAUUUCAUUAAAUUAAAGAUUGGGUUUAAAAAAGUGGAAAAGAAACUGCUGGACAAAUAAUGUAGAUUGGAAUACAAAAGAGGGAGGUAUGAGGAAGUCCAGAAAAUAAGUAAUUCAAAAUUGGGAAUGUAAAAGAGAGUUUGUUUUAAAUUGUUAUGUUGUGUGUUUCUAUUGUUAAAUUUUGUAUUGUUUUUUUGUGUGUGUUGCUUUUUCUUUUUUCUUUGUUUAAAACUUUAAUAAAAAUUU